RNAcentral lists this long non-coding RNA (50459 nucleotides) under Ananas comosus (pineapple). RNAcentral describes it as "long non-coding RNA (ACOM_LNC029883)". The record is from RNAcentral. Lineage: Eukaryota; Viridiplantae; Streptophyta; Magnoliopsida; Poales; Bromeliaceae.
AAUAAUAAAGUUGUUAAAAAAUAUAUUAGUAAUUCUUAUAGUAGAAAAAACAAAUGAUUCUGAUUAGAAUUUCUACUGUAAAUAAAGGCACUCAGAGGUUCGUUGGAUUACUAAAAGUUGAAGAAUUUUUUGCCUACUUAAAAAAUUUUACAACUGUUUACUUACACUGAUGUUGACAGGUACUUCUUCUUAGUUCUCUCUAAUUAUUAUAAAAUAAAAUAUUACUAGUACAUCCAAAAAGUUAGAAUUUGAAACUCUUUAAAUUUCUAGUAUUUAAAAAAAAUAAUUGUAAUAAGACGCGAGCCCUAUGAGCCCUUGGAUAUGUACCAGCAAUAUUUAUCUUAUUAUAAUUACCAAUUUACCCUUGGGUGCAUUUAGUUUAGGUUAUCUUAGCGGGAUUAAAAUCACCACAAAAUCACCAAAAAUGGUGCAAAUUUUUUUUUCGAAAAUAUUACCGAGCAGAAGGGUGGGUAUUUCAUAUUAUAUAUUGAUAGCAUACAAUUUUGCAUGUUAUACAAAAUUAUAAGUUUACCUCUCCAGCCUCUCCUCCCCAAAUCCUUUCAAUACAUCAUUUUUAUUUUCGCUCUCUCUCUUUCUCUCCAUCUUUACUGUCAGAAUUACAACACUUUAUUGCAAAUCAGAAUUAUUGAAUUUUAUAAACUGAAUCAAAUAUAGUAAUUUUAUAUAUUCUGUAAUCUAGUAUUAUACUACUGUAUUAAAUCAAACGCGGUAAUACAAUAUCAGUAGUAAUCUGGUUCAACUAACCGGUAAUUCCAUAACGCAAACUAAAUGCGCCCUUAAAAUAAACUACCUUUUCUACAAAUUGCACCAAGUGUCCAAUAUUUAAAAUUGUCUACAUCAGUACAUAAGUAAACAUAUGCAAAUUAUGUUGAAAAAGUACAACAAUACUAGAUAUGUAGCUAGGUUAAUUUUUACCAAAUUGAGAUAGACAACAAAGGAGAUACAUAUCAAUGAGUUGGCCUUUCUUCUUUUUUGCAGGUAUCAAUUAAACUCUUGCACUCUAUUGUCUCCAAUCAUCCUGAAGUUUGUGGAGUGUGGACAAAGUUUUAUGAAUGAGUAAAAUAAUUAAAAGUGUUUUCAAGGGGGAAAAAGUGAGUUUUAGUUAUAACCUUCAAUAUGUGAAAUGUAAGAGCACAUAGGUUUAAUUUCUUUAAAAUUAAUGGAGCUAGCACUCCCUCACGUGCAUAUUGGAUAUGGAGUCUGACUACUAUACUCUUAUGAGUACGAUCGCCCUCGUACUCAUAAGUCGUUUUUUAUGAUAGAGCUUCCGAAUCGACGAUUCAUAUCGUUAAACGUUAUCUAGAGCAUUUAAAACUUCUAGAAAUUAAAUUUUAUAAUUUUUCGACAUCAUUUAUCUUACGAUCAAAAGGUUACAAAAUUGAUAAUUUUUAACGGCCGGUAUGGGAUACUUUCUAGUUUAGCAGUGUAAAAGAAUCAGAAUCGAUUGAAUUUUUUAUAGAAAAUUCUAUUCGCUAUAAAGAUCAAUAACUCCGAUCGUAAAUUGAAGGAUCCGAUCAUCCAUUUUUGGACGUCGUUCGAUUUUGACCAUUCAUUUUAUUCUCACUUGAUGGACUUUAUUAUGAUUUCGAAAAAUUAUGAAAUUUAUUUUUUAGAAGUUUCAAAUACUCUAGAUCAUAUUUAAUAGAGUAGAUCGUCGAUUCGGAAGUUCCAUCAUCAAACUCAAUUUAUGAGUACGAUGGGUUUUAUACUCAUAAAAGUAUAGUAGUCCUACUCUUGGAUAUGAACGAUAUAUAAAAAUGAUAGGUGACAUACACAAAACAAAUGAAUUUACUAGAGUUAUCUCUUACACCGUAUCACUCAAAAAAUUAAUGUACGUAGUAGAAAACAGACUCACAAAUAUAUAUUUACAAUAUCGAUAGUUGUCCUAGCUAUUAAAAUAAAAGUUGAUAAAAUUUUAAUUUUUUUGGUGAUUUACAGAGUUUCUUUGAUAAUUUAUUUGAGAAUGAUGGUGCAAUAUACACAUGCAACAUUCUUUGAUAAGAACCCUCAAAUAACUAGAAACUUCAACCUAAGUAAUUAAUUAUAUUAACUAUUAACCCUUUAUCCUCGAACCAAUUUGAUUUAUAAUGAUAGUGAUACAACGAUUAGAUUGUGCAAAUUGAAAAUUAACUUAUCAUUAUCUCUAAUUAAUGUCUCUUUCAUGUUUUGUCCACAUUAUACACUGUCCAUCAUUUUCGCCCUUAAGCAUUGUCGGCCGAGUAGUUCACAUUUGGACAAUACAAGUUCACGGCCUUAUAUCCUAUCAGCAUACGUAGUAUAUUUACAGAAAAAGUUUUCUUUAUAACAUUAUAUUUUGGAUAUAAAUGUAAAGUCAAAAUUUAUUUGUGUUAUCAUUGCAGAUUCGUAACAUAAAAUUUACGGUCUUAUAUGAAUGAUUUAAAAACUCUAUACAAACUAUUUGUUAUAGAAAAAAUUUUCUCGUGAUCAGCGUGACACGUGGCACGUUUCAUGAACACACUGGAAAUUAAUGGAGUGCAUAUAUUGUGGGGUCCUAAUUAAAUCCGUACUCUAUGUAAUUUGAUCUCAACCAAAUUGGUCCCAUCAACUAUUAGUACACCCAAUUAAUGAAAGAAAAGGAAAUAAUAAUGUAAUUAAUAUGCUAAUGUUAUGUGGUCACCUCUUUAAUUUCCAUUACUAAGUGGCCAAAAAAAAAUUUAGUAAUAAGAUUUUUUUUAAAAAAAAACUUUGAAUUUAUGAUUUAAAUUUUAGGCACUUGGAUGAUUUGUGUCGAUACUUGAAAUAAAUUUUAAAUUAACAAUACAUAUAUGUAUGUAUACAUUAUUUUUAAGCUUGGAAUGAGGAGAAAAUACUAUAACUCGAGCGAAGUAAUAUUCAAACUACUCUUUUGUAAUAAUAUUGCGAGUCUAUUUUCAAUUUUCAAUCUCGAAUUACUAAUUCAAUUUUGAGUAAACACUAAUUAAGUUCAAAAACAAAAACCUCAACCCAAAAAAAGUGGAUUUUUUUUUUUUUUUUUUUUUUGGAAGUGGCUAUUAAAGGGAAAAAAAGAAAAAGAAAAAAGGAGAGGCCAUUGGGUUGGAUAAAUGAUAUCAUCAAUAGUAACACUACAAAAUGUGUGUUUAAUUUUUGGGGCUCAUAUUUAUGGAUUUGGUGUCCUUUCAUGUGUUGAGUCCCUUUAUAAGUGGACCUGGGCCAAAAUAAUACCUUUUCGUUUUAUUUUUCUUUUUUAAUUCUUUACUAUGUCUCUCUACCUGUACCUGAUUUUAACCUAGUGUAAUAAAUUUUUCUUUUUUUAACCCACAUAUUCCUGCAAAUAUGCGAAACAACGCAAAUUAUGCUGCAGAGUUGGUAUUUGCAUUUGCGUGUCUCAAACUAGAGCAGUUUGCGACUGAGAUAUCUACUACACACGUAGCUAAUCAUGCAUCUCGAGAUAAUACCAAAUCGGUCUUAAACUGAAUCUUCAUGUUUGAUUCGACAUGUACAGCUAAUAACUAAGAUUUCAAAUGAAUGUGUAUAGGAAAAAAAAAAAAUACAAAACAAAAUCAGCUAAUAUCUAAAAGGCCGCAUUCAUCAAAAUAGAGAAAGUCUUUUUAGUAACAAAUAUGCUAUGUGGAAAUAAGAACAUAGAAUCAAAUUAUCUUUUUUUGGAAUAAAUAUGUAAGUACAAUAAUUUUCUCUGAUGUUAUUUUAACAUAAAAUUAUCAUAUUACCCGUAUAAUAUCUUUUGCAUCUUAUACGAUUUGAUGAGAUUAAUCAAGUACAAAUUCUAUGCAGAAAAUUUGGAUUAGAUGGACGCGUGUCGCUUUCCGUAUGGGACGGCGGUGAAGAAGGGGCCACAAUCUCAAUGGCCCAUCAAAUGGCAGCCACCCGAAAAGUACGGGCCCGUUAUCUGUCGUAAAAGCCCACUAACAAAAUCAGCCCAUCAUCUUUCUGUGCAGCUUCGCGACGUAGUUUGGGAUUGCGAUGUCCAGAUAAUAAUUUUUAAGGCUUAGUUUGAGAUUGCGUUGCCAAAAGCACUGACUUUCAUGCUCUGCGAGAAGCUCAUGUCGAGAUUUUAGCAGAAGCAUUUCUUCUCACCAGUAAUCUCUGCAAGAACACGAACCCUCUCGGAACGUAUGGAAUCGACUGCGAUCCCUCACCACAAUCUCUCUCUUGUACACCUUCGAAAUCAUCUUCAUCACCGUAUGACAAUCGCGACAAACCCUCAAGUUCUUCACAAUCUUUAUCACCCCUUCCGCCCCUUUCGUCCUCGCCAUGCCGAACGCCACCGCGAGCUUCUCGCUGUGCCGCCACACUGCCUCCUUCUUCUCCUCCUCUUCUAUAUCAUGCAAAACCCCCGCGACCUCCGGAACAUAACCUUCCAUCCUUAUCCUCGCCAUCACCUCCGCGAGCUUCUUCUCAGCCUCCCUUUUCUCGCCAUCCAGCUCCUCAUUCGCCACAAAGGUGUACAAAACCUUAUCUACUUCGAUCGAGCUCCAUCCGGGAUCUUUGUUGAUCCUUUGAGCACUCAUCGAUCUCCUUACGGUCGCAACAUCCUUCCACUUCCCGGCAACCGCGUAUAUGUUCGAAAGCAAUACAUAGUCGCUCGACUCAUUUGGGUCGAGCGCAGAGAGCUGCUUCGUAGCAUGCUCCGCUAAACAAACAUUUCCGUGGAUACUACAAGCCCCGAGCAAUGUUCGCCAAAUCACCGCAUUGGGUUUCAUCGGCAUUCGCAUUACGAACUCAUACGCCUUGUCCAAAAGCCCGGCACGGCCAUAUAGGUCGACCAUGCACCCGUAGUGUUCAAUCGAAUGCUCGAGUCCAUAAUUAUCUGCCAUACUAUGAAAAAUUUCGUGCCCCUGUUGUACUAGACCUGCGUGGCUACAUGCGUAAAGGACCGAGAUGAACGUCACUCCGUCCGGGGUCGUUCCAUUUUGUUCCAUUUCAUCGAAAAGCUCGAUGGCUUUUUUUCCAUGGCCAUGCAUCGCGAGCGCGGCAAUCAUGGACGUCCACGAGAUGACGCUCUUCUUGCCCAUCUCCCAAUCGAACACCUGGCGGGCCAAGUCGACGCUCCCGCACCUUGCGUACAUAUCUAGAAGCACAUUCGAAACUGCGAUAAUACUGUUGAAACCUGUUUUCUCCGCGUGCCCGUGCAGCGUUUUGCCCGUUUCGAAGGCCCCAGCUUGCGCGCAUGCGGAGAGAAUCCCCGUCAAGCUAACUUCGUUCGGCCUACACCCCUCCCUCAGCAACUCUUUGAAGAAGCCUAUCGCAUCGUCAAAAGCACCGUGCGCGGCGAACCCGGCAAUCAUGGUGCUCCAGGAGACCGCAUCCUUGUGCGGAGCGGAAGAAAACAAUCUCCUCGCGAAAUCCACCUCCCCCGCCUUCAUAUGCCCCGCGAGCAUCACGUUCCACGAAGUGGAGUUCCUCCACGGCAUUUCGCCGAACAGCUUCCGCGCGAGCCGCACGUCGCCCGCGCGGAAACAAGCCGUGACGGCCGCGUUCCACGCGACGACGUUCCGGUGAGGCAUUUCCUCGAACACCUUGAGCGCGCGGCCAAGGCGGCCGCACUCGGCGUACAUGCUGACGAUGGUGGUGGCGACGAAGAGGUGGCGGUCGAGGCCGUGGCGGAGGGCGAGGGAGUGCACCUGGGAGCCGACGGAGAGGGAGCGGGCGUUGGCCGCGGCCUUCGAGAGGAAGGCGAAGGUGAAGCUGUCGGGGGGGAGGGAGCGGCGGCGCAUGCGGCGGAAGGCGGGGAGCGAGCGGAGGAGGAGCUCGCCGGCGACGAUGGGGUCGGCGGCGGCGCCGGAUUUGAGGGCGUGGGCGUGGGCUCGCUUGAGGUGGUCUAGGGUUUUGCAUUGCUGUAGCAAGGAGAGGGUUUGGAGGACGAGGUGGUGGUUGGGGUUCAUUUCGCGCGCUUAGGGAGUGGGAAUUGCGUAUAUGAAUCAUUGAAUAACAACUAAAGUCGGUGGUGAGAUUAGCAUCGUCGCCGAGUUUAGUAGUAGUGCCGAUUCUGACGACAUUAAGCUUUUGCCGAGUUUAAGGGUGUGCAUUGAUGAUAGCGGGGCAUUUGGUAUUUAUUUAUUUAUUUAUUUAUUUUAUUUGGUGUAGUUAAUAUGCUAAUUUAGCAAUUAAAGAUACAAAUCUCCUUAUCUACUAUGUUAGUAGUCCUAAAUAAUUUGAAAUAUAUAAAUUUUUUGUGUAUGUUAAUUUGAUGAGUAAUGCUAUGCUCACUUACAGAAGUGAGUAAGGGCAAAAUCUUAAAUUAUAAAAAAUAUUUUAUUGAAGUAUUUAUACAAAGAGUAGCACUAUAGUUACACAAAGGAGUAGAUAGAAGAAGUAUAGUCCAAAUGAUCAAAAUUAUGCUUGUCAUCAAAAGAUUAAAAAAUUACUAACCAGUAAAUUACACACAUCAUCUAAAAGAUUCAAUCACUUUAGCAUACAUUCUAUUUGCAUGUACUGCUUUAGAAAUUCCGUAACAUUAUUCUUAUAAUAAAGUUUACAACAUGGUGGGCUUUAUACAUCGCCUAAUAAAACCAAUUACUUUGGCGCAGAUUCUAUUCGCAUUUACCUUUAAAAGUGGGCACAAGAUUAUUAUUCUAAUUUGACUCCUUUACAAUGUUUCUAACCCCAUUGGGUCACUUUUAUCACUCCACUCCACCAAAGUUCUUUUCUAAAAUCCAUGAAACAUAUGUCCUUAUUUUUGGUGCUUCUUCCUAGGAAUCAUCAAAAUGUCCAAUAUUUUCCUUUUCUUUUUAGUUGAGGUAAUGCUACUUCAUCUCAUGUGGGGAAAAGCCCUACUUUUGUGGGGUAGUUGGCCAAAUUUUGAAUCCCAUGUUGCACUCCAAAGAAUGUUCUGGAAAAUGUCCCAAAUCCCAAAUUUGGGUUAAUUAGUUAGGUAAAUUUUGAAUACUAUCAUACACUCUUGGUUUGAUACAAUUUUUCAUAUUUUACCAUUGGAUAAAGAUCAGUGAAAAAAGAAAAAAGAAAAAGUAAACAAUAAAAAUAAAAAAGCCUUUGUUUGGGUGGUAUUUUCUUACAAGCUAUGAUCUCAUAUUUUCUGAAUUUUUACUAAAAUUACAGCAUGUGAAUAAAACAAAGAAAAAAAACUAGUGAAGCAUGCGUCAUAGUUUGGUGGGACGUAACUAGAAAUAUAGUACAGGUAAAAAUAUAUGCAAUUAAAAAUCUAGCAGUUAUAACUAUGCAGCUAUAAAUUAUUUAUUUCAUUGCAUGUAGUUAAAUAGUACGUUUGAAAAUUUUUAUCAAUUCAUACUUACGGUGGUGAAAUUAUCUCUAAUGUAGAAAAGAAUGAUAUUUUCUUUUUGAAAAAUAACUAGGGAGAUAAGUUACUCUCUCUGACUGUUGUUGCUGUAGCCAAUUUGAGCAUAGCUCCAACUGCUACAGUACGACCUCCUCAUACAGUUCCAAUUGUCGCAAUUAGAUUCACACGUAUCAAAUCAAAUAAUGAAUUUGAAUUUAUAUGCAGAUGCAACUGCACCAACAAGCGCGUCUUAUGUAUCGCCGAUGUAUCUUUAUAGUGAGUAGAAUCAUACGUAUCAGAUACGAUUUUUUUAUGGUGGGCCUCCAAUGGACCCAAAAUUUGGCCCAACCAAUUUCUCUAUUCACACUUUUUAUAAUAUAAUACAAUAUAUGGAUGUGAACAAAAUAAUCCCUUCUUAUAUAAUAAUAAUAAUAAUAUACAUAUUAUUUUUUUUUGUCUCUUGUUUGAAAAUGGUUCAUGGUUGUUCAUUAUUGCAAUAAAUGUUGACUCAAAUUAUUGUCGGUAACAGCCACAAAAAGUAAUGUAAACACAAGAAAAUAUAAAUUCCCAACAAGUUCAAAUAUUUCAAUUUUUUGUACUCCAAAAAAGAAAAAGCGUUUAAUCAUAUAAUUAUAAUAAAUAAUAGGAAGUGGUACUAUAAAAGGAAAUUAAUUAGUGCAACAAAUCAUUGUCCAUUUUAACUCUAGCAUUUAAUCCACACCAUACAAUUAUUAGAAAUUUACUUAUAUCUAAACCUAAUUAAUUUAGGAAAUGAGCCAUUUAUAUGGCGACUAUAUAAAAGAUCUUGGUGGGUGUAAUUUUUUUAAGAUUAAAAUUUUUCAAAAAAAAGUUAAAUGAAGUUGAGAGUGUGGGUUUAAACUAUUCUGCGAAUCAGGUAAAUUCUACUGUUAACUAAUCUUUUUGUAUCCAAUUUUUUUUUUACUUAUUAUUUUUAUUAUUUGCUCUUUGUUUUGUGACUUUUUUUGGAUUCGGAGUCGGAGAUUUCACUAAAAUUACCAAAUAAAAAGUUGCAUCUAUUUUUCCUUCAAUCAAAAGAUAUAUUAGGAAAUUAUAAAUCUAAGUGCAGACGAGGUAAAAAGAAUAGAAAUAUCCUGCAAACUAAUAUUUUCUCGAUUUGAGUACAAACAUUUACGCGAAUAUAUAUAACUCAUGUUUAUAAUUAUAUUAGAAAAAUUUAUUUAUGCAAUAAAUCACGGAAUUGACAAAUCUCUUAUUUGACGCGACAUGUUGACAAAAAGGAGGUGAAAAAUUCUACCCUUUUGUCACUCUUAGACGCGGUUAUAGUUCCACUAAGAAGCUUAUGACACGAUAUAUACAUAUGUAAAUUAGUCGUUAGUCGUUGACGUGUUAUUUGGUUUUGAAUAAAAAAAUAAAAAUGCUUGUGAAUAAACCCAAAAAAAAAUAAAAAAUAAAAAAAGCACUUAAAGGAAAAGUGCUUUUUCUUGGGGACAAAAAGCCAUUAACCCUGCAAAAUGGGCUUCACACGGAAUUGUCAAAAUUAAUUGCCCUCCACAAUGACUUGACAUUGAAGUUUUGUCUCUUUUUAUUUUUAUUUUCUUUUUAUUUUUUGUCAUUUUUUUCUUUUUCUUUUUUUUGGGGGAUUUUUGAAUAUGAGACUUGACAUAGUAGUUAUUUGAUUCUUCAAAGCACUAUUCCUUCUAGAAUUAGGAAAUUUCUAAUUACCCUUUUUCCAUUUCUAUGUAAUGGAAAAAAAAAAUUCCAAGGAUGUGAAAAUGACCUUUUAUUUCAGUAAAUUAUUACUAUUUUUUUGAACAGCAUGAUACUAUUUUUACAAAGCAUCGUCGUAAAACAUAUUUGUUCUUACCAGAAAAUAAUUAUAAUAGGGGCAAUUCUUUAUAUACCUCUGAAAAAUUCUCGACUUUCUAAUUUACUCAUCUUAGAAGGAUAAUAUUAAAAUUUUCUUUUUUACGUUUCCAGUUAUUUCAAAUAUAUUCCUAAAGUUAAAUUUUGUUAGCAGCAAUAAUCAUUAUCUAUGCAAAAUUACUAUUUUGCCCUUUCUGAUGUACCCUUCUAUUACCGCAAACUUUUUUUAUUUGCCUUUCAGCUAGGGGCAAAAAAAAUAUUUUGAUUUUUUAUUUUUGAUUUUUUCAAAUAUAUCAUUUUAUUAUCACUAAUUUUUCUUAUUUGUCCUUGAGUUAAGAGCAAAAAGGAGGUAUUUUAAUUUUUUAAACUUUUUUAGAUAUUUAACUCACGUUUAAUCCAAGAUAGCUUAACAUGUGAUAACCGUAGAGAUAUUUUUGAAUAGCGCAGGUACAUACGAGGAGUAUAUUGAAAUAAAAAAAAAAGUAAGAAUAAAUUAGAUAUUUAUGAAAUUUUGAUAAGUAUAUAGGCAAUUAUCCCCCAACAAUAAUACAUCCGUUCAUGUGCAACAAAAAUUAUUAUAAAUAAAUUUAAAACACGAAUUAAAAUAGUACCUUGUUACUAUCAAAAACAAACCAUCUUUCGCUUUCAUUGUUGAUCCUCUCAAUUGCUUGCAUUACAAUUAAAAUUAAACAUUAUAAUGACACAUAUAUUUAAUUUCCUCCACCUUGACUAAAACUUAUAGAAUUAUACGAACUUAAAUUUAUUAUUUCCCUUUUUUUAUUUUUUUUUUUGCAAUUUAAAAAAAAAUGAUAGAAAGAGACCCUUGAGGCUAACUUUGCACAACGUGACAUUUGCCAUUGCACCAAAUUGGCGCAUUUAUAUAUUCUUGCUGAGUUUUUUGUCAUUUUUCUCACCUUUAUUUCUUUUUAGUGAUUGCCUUAAAUUAUUGUGCAUAUGUAUCAUUUUCAUGGUGCACAAUUUACGAUUUGACUCUUCGUGAAUAACGAGAGCCGUCCAUUUGUGAAUGGACGAUGAUGACGUGUAUCACACGCGUGUUAGGACAAAGCAAUUAGCCUAAUUAGAAGUUUCUCAAUAAUUAAUUAGGAAGGCCAUGUUUAGGGUCUAGAGUUUAGGGUUGAAGUUAUCGAUCGCUGUGUUGUGUACAUAGAAAUAGUAGUUUGGUGGGGUGGGUUGGAUUAGCGACUUAGGAUUGAGUGGUUUCUGGCUUCUAAUGAAAUUGCUUGAGUUUUGAUUGUACGAAUGUCGUGUCAUUUUGGAUCAUUUCUGAUUAUAAGUCACAUUCAGAUUGUUUAGGCUCGAAUUAUUUCUAAUUUUGUCUCGAGUAUUUGGUGGGGUGGGUUGGAUUAGCGACUUAGGAUUGAGUGGUUUCUAGUUUUUAAUGAAAUUGCUUGAGUUUUGAUUGUACGAAUGUCGUGUCAUUUUAGAUCAUUUCUGAUUAUGUGUCGCAUUCGGAUUGUUUAGGCUCGAAUUAAUUCUAAUUUUGUCUCUCGAGUUUGGGUUUAAAUUUGUUCAAAUUGCUUGUGAGUUUCGAUCCACUCAGGUUCGAAUCAUUAACUUUCCAAGUCAACUCAUAUUAGAUAGAAUCUUAUUUGGGACUGAAUCGGAUUAGCUUUCUCCGCCUCUAACUUCGCUCUUGGUUAUUAAAAUCGUACUUGGAUUACGAUAAACAAGGAUAGGAAAAAUAAUUAGGGUUAAUGAGAUUCUCAUGCUUUAUUAGAAUCAAAAGUACAAAUUAAACAACCUUUAUCAAUUAUCACAUAUAUUAUAUAUUGUAAAAGGGGUACUAUUAUUAUUAACAUAAAAACUAGUAACUUAUAUUCCCUCUUUGUAGCUUGAAUCACAUACAACCCUUUCCAUGCACAUGAUAAAUUUUUUUUUAAAAAAAAGCUAAAAUUAUACUCCACCUUUUAGUACAUGGAUUCUAUAUUAGUUAAUCUUUAAUCAAGGUUAUAAAGGAAAAAAAAAUAAACUAAUUAAAGAAAAAAAGAUUAGAGUUACCAAAAUAACUCCCGAAUAAUUACACAAAAGAAAAGCUAUGGGUGCAACACAAAAACAGUUGUUAUUGUGAUUCAAUUUAUUACAUCUUUCAAACCAACCACUUGUUUAAGGAUAAAGCACCUAAAACCUUUUUUUAUUUUUAUUUUAUUUUGGAGGACAUUAAUGGGGAGUUUUUUUUGGAUAAGCCAAAUAGGUGGUGAUCACACAAUAGUGCACCAAAUAGCAAAAAUUAUUGCCUCAACUAGGUCCACCAUAUUAACAGUGAACCAGUAUAAAUCUGAUAUCGAUGGUUAUAAAUUUAUUUUAUAAAAUCUUCUUUUUUUUUUCAAACUCCAAAAAUCUAAUAAACUGUGUCGUUUUACGGAUUUAAACUUAAUGAUUAUAAUAUAGAGUAAAAGAAAAGAUGGACUGGAUGGCAGAUACCCACGCAGUGCGAUGUCGUGGACCAAGUCCAAGGAGUAGUACCCACAAAAACUGGUCCUCAUUGGCUGAGUCAGGGUGAGUAAGUUGGCUUAGUCAGCCUUCCAUGAAACCCCAGUCUGUUCUGUAAAACACUUGGCCUACAAACAAUUGACCACCCAACUGAAAGAUCUCCCUAAUUAGUUAAGAUGUUAAAAAAAAAAAAAGAAAAAAAAAAAAAAGAGAGAGAGAAAAUUUACUAACAACUUUGAGAUUUUUAAGGCACACACCAAGUGCAUUUACUAUGUACCAAGUUACCCGUCUCUCUCUCUCUCUCUCUCUCUCUCUCUCUAUCUCUUGUUUUUCUUAGAUCACAGCUCUAUCUCAUCAAUUUAGGUGGAACUUCACCCUCCCAAGCACCAUGCCUAAAGACCAAGCUUCCUUCUUGUAAAUUCUUUAUUCUUCUGUUUUGUAGGUGCAGAGUCCACUUCUCUGCUGCAGCAGCAGCAGCAGCAGCAUACCCACACAUAAUCUCUGAUCUUAUGAUUGCUUCAGAUUGAAUUAAGGGUGGUGGUGGAGGUGGUUAAAGUUAAAAAUUGCACCCCCCCUAUGGAGAUUGUAACAGCUUCUCUUUGUGGAACCCAUGUGAGCUCUUCUGGUGAGGAUGAGCCAAUGAGUGGUGUUGCUUGUAGAAAGAUGUUCUCUCCCUUGUUUUGGAUCACAAUUUCACUGGUGUUCCUCAUCAGCUUCAUCAGCAGAUCCAUUCUCAGGUGGUUUUAAGGCCCUUUCUCUUUCUGGUGAAUUUGUUCAUUUAAUCUGAUCACUUGUCUCCUCCCUUUGUUUUUGUUUUUUUUGGUUGCAGAGUGAAGAGUAGAGAGAAGAUUCAGAGAGAGAUUGAAAGGUGUUUGCCGGCGAAAAUUGAAAUUGAAGAAGCUAAUAGGAUGGAGGAACCAAGUUUCAGCUUUAAGUUUCAGUAUCAGAUUCCUGAGUAUGAUAAUAAUAAAGUUAGCACAGAGGAACCUUCAAUUCCAAUUGCAAAGGAGAAUGAGUUGUCGACGGCUACGAGCAUCAGUAAUUAUCGGUUCUUGUCGGAGAAGGAUUUCAGCGGCUUCGUGGAACAGCCGGAAUCCGUGACAGUUUCUGUCCAAGAAUCUUACAUUGAAACAGAAACAGCAGCAGCAGCAGCAGCAGCAGAAGCAGUAGCAGUAGCAUCUGCAGCUGCAGAAGAAGAAGACGAAGAAGAAGACGAAGAAGAAGAAGCAAGUUUAGUUCAUAGAAAAAGAAAGAAAGAAAACAAGUUCGAUACCGGAUUUUUUUCGUCAGAAAAUACUCUGCAGCAACUCAGUAAAGAAGCUUACACUGAAGAUAAAGUAAAAGAUAAGUUCUGGGAGAAAGGAAAAGGCAUCAAUUAUGAGACCAAUUUAUUUAGUGAGGAUGAAGUGAUCGGUAAAAGGAGGUUUCUAUCCGAGGAAUUCGUGGGCUCCGGCUCGGAUUCAGAAUCGAGUAUGAGCGACGGGUAUUCGGUGAAGGACAUUGUUGUAGACUCCGACAGCGAUUGCUUUUUAUCAGAGAAGGAUUUCGGUGAUCGGUACGAGCACGAAACCGAUGCUACUACUGAAUCGUCGAUGAAUUUUGCUAACUUCAGUGUAGAUUUAAUGGAUGAUAUCCAACAGUCGGAAGAAGUCCAGUCACAACCUUUUGAUGAUUCGGACGCAGAAUCAGCUUUUUCAAAAAGCGACUCAGCGUACACAAACAAUCAUUACUUGGAUGAAUCGAAAGAAUUGAACGAAGAAUCGAGAAAAUUGGAUCUGCCGAGUACGAGUUCAAAGAGCUCUGACGAGGAUGUUUCAGAGUCGAAACGCGAGGAUGUAGGUGAAAAGAUUACUAAAGAAAACAACGAGCGCGUAGAAGAAUCGGUUUUUCAGAAGGAAACGCAAGAGAACGAUGCGAAGAAGCCGAAAGAGAACCAAUGGGAUGAUCUAAAUGAUGAGGAGAAUGAUGAAUUGGAGUCACUUUGGGAGCACCAGGAUCUUAUCGAGCAGCUGAAAAUGGAGAUAAAGAAAGUGCGGGCAAUCGGGCUUCCGACCAUCUUCGAAGAAUCGGAAAGCCCGAGCCCGAAGACGAUCGAGGAUUUGAAGCCGUGGCGGAUCGACAAGAAGUUCCUGCUCGAGGACCCGAUCGACGAGCUGCACAAGUUCUACAAGAGCUAUAGAGAGAGGAUGCGGAAGUUCGACAUCUUGAAUUACCAAAAGAUGUAUGCAAUUGGUAUGUCUGAUUAUCUUUUUCGCAGUUUCUUUACAUUGGUUUUGCUGCAAAACUGGAUUUGGAAACAAUUUCUUAAGAUUGCUUGUUUGAAACACAGGAUUUCUCCAACUAAAGGAUCCCCUCCAAUCAAUGGGGGCUCAAAAACCUCUACUUCCCACACUAACCACUAUUCUAUCCCAAAAUUUUGGCCACAAGCGUAAAUCCGGCGACGAUCAAUCAGAAAGAUUCGUCAGAGAGCUCAGAUGCGAUCUGGAAACGGUUUAUGUCGGGCAGAUGUGCCUUUCGUGGGAGUUCCUUCGGUGGCAGUACGAAAAAGCCCGCGAAUUGCCCGAAUCCGACCCAUACAGAAGCCAUCAGUACAACCAAGUCGCAGGCGAGUUCCAGCAGUUCCAGGUUCUAAUACAGCGGUUCGUCGAAGAUGAAUCCUUUCAAGGACCGCGGUUACCGAACUAUGUCAAGAACCGUUGCGUCCUCCGAAACCUUAUUCAAGUGCCCGUCGUAAAAGGUAACAAAAGGUUACAAAUGAACUAGUUCAUUUCCGCUGCGAGUUUUACUGAGUUAUACUGAAACUGUUUAUUGUGGCAGAGGAUAGUUUAAAGGAGAAAAUGGAGGAGCAGCGCAAAGGAAACUACUCGAUCACGAGCGACGAAUUGGAGGACAUAAUGGAGGAGUCGAUAAGACUUUUCUGGGAGUUCGUUAAGGCCGACAAAGAUGAAACACCGGGUUUGCUCAAGGGUUUGAUGGCUCCUCAAGUCGAGCUCCAAGAACCGUCCGACUACGAGCUCAUGAUGCACAUUCAUUCUAUCUUGCAAAAGGUGAGGCAUAUAAUGCUUGUACUUUUUAAAAAUUUUGCACUGAUCUAUUGGGGCAUAGUUUCUAACUUCUUUUGAAAUUUAUGGCGCAGAAAGAGAAGAAGCUAAAAGACCUCUUGCGGACCGGAAACUGCUUAGUGAAGAAGUUCAAAAAGCCGAAAGAAGAUAGAUCAAACCAAGACCUCUUUUUCGCGCAAGUGGACCUGAAAUUGGUGGCGAGAGUACUCCGAAUGCCGAGAAUUACCAACGAACAGCUGUCGUGGUGUCACAAGAAACUGGACAAGAUCGCAUUUGUCGAUCGGAAGAUCCGAAGAGAGCCUUCAUUCUUGUUAUUCCCUUGUUGAGGUAGAUAUCCUCGCCUUGUCAAGUAUAGUUUUAAUAUGUAAAUUUGAGGAAAAUUUAGGAUUAUUUAAGUAGUUAUUUAGAGAAUAUUGAUGGUCCUCUAUAGUGUUUUUUCACCUUCUAAAAGUAAAUGGGCUUGUAUGGCUCCCUCAUAUACUUGUACUUGACAGAGAAAACAUUUUUGUUUUCAAAUUUAUAGCCUUUAAAAUUACAAUGAUAACAUGUAUACAAGUGAAUGGAAACUAUUGGUGUGAGGCUUUACAUGUUAACUACCCUAAACUCGGUUUCGAGAUGUCGGUAAUUUCUGAAUUAUUCGAUGAGAACCAAUCGCGACACACUAACAACCGCAUUGAAAAUAUGAUUUGUGAAACUUUGGCAGGUACCAGAAGCACUUUUAUCGCGGUAAUUAUAUGUUUAUACAGCUUGGUUUUCGCCUCUCUUUCAUUAAUAGAUGUAACAUCAUCAGAAAAUAAGCAUUAAUUUCCAUUGUUUGUAUUAUUAGACCAAGAACAUUAAGCACCAAACCAUUAAUCACCAAAGCAUGAAGGAUGAGCUAAUGAAGCCGAAGUAGGUAUAGAUCAAUGAGCACAGUUUCGACGGUCGAUUUAAAGCGAAUUGAAUUAUGAGCAUUUAAUUCUGCAAGUGUGCCCUUAAGAGGGUCAGAACAUAUGAAAGGAACCUCUCAGCAAUCAUGCACAAAGGUAGUUAUGUGCAUACAUCACCUGUGUAAUGCCAAAAAGAUAUUUGAGGAGAGACACAUUAUUGUUGUGAUGCCAUGAAUCAUGUAGACAAACAGGUAUGGAUACAUGACAUUAAUGUGGUUUGGAGUUUUCUGGUGGGUAUCAGUAUUUGGUAUCUUACUGUUUUUUUUUGUGUAGAGAAAAAUAGCAGUUAGUAGUUGCUGCACUGGCAUUUUAAUUUUAGUAUAUGCAAGGACCACAAAAUUGAACUGAGCUAACUUGUUGGUCAUCAUAAAAGCUCAACAAGUGAAGGAAAAAGGGUUAUUGAAUGAAGCUAAACUAUAACAGCAACGCUAAUGUUGGAUGUAGUACUGUUUGAUAAGAUAUUAUUUGAGUAGUGUUAUCAGAAGAAGUAGUAUGACAAUACAUCCUUAUAAGCUUCUCUCUGCAGCAAAUAUAGUGAGUAUCAAUAGAAGUUUCGAUUUUGUUAAUCAGAAUCUCAUUUCUGCUUCACCGUAUAUAAGAAGUUCUAAUUUUUCUUUUUAUCUGUUAAGUGAUCUGCCAAGAUCAAUGUUGUUGAAAGCAAAAGCAGGAAGAGAGUAACACAAACCAUCGAAAAAAAACGAUCUGGCCAAUUGGCUCAAAACUAAUGAAGAUUGCUUACUCUCUGAUCUGCUCACAAUGCUUUUAUUAAGAGCAGAAAAUGUUUCUGAAGGCAUAAUUUGGUACAGAAAAUACAACAUCACUCCGAAAAUUCAUCACAAUCCGCCUCAAAGAAAGAAAAUUUUGCGACGGUAAUUAUGCCAGUUCCUGUUGAAAUAGGUUGAAAUAGUUACGACAAAAACAUGUGCUCUGACCAGGGAUCAGAUUAGUUUCUUUUUCCUUUCUUAAUGAGAUGAUGAGAUUCUCAGAACACACAUUCAUUUCUUUCGUAUUGUUGACUUCUCAGAGAAGAGAAAAUAAACUAGAAAAAGGAGAGAACAAAUUAUUCUACCAAAUUAAGCGGAAUUUGAAACUGUUUAACCAACUCAAAAUUCAAAAUACAACCAAAUACUGAUUGUGAAUGUCAAACUUUCACAAAUCUCAAACAAUAGUUACUGAAAACUAAUUAUACCGAAUAACUCACUCAACGCGACGGUUAACUCUCCACACUUUAACAGUUGAACUACACUUAAGCAUCAAGUUAAACAUUACACCGAGUGUAUAAAACUCGAGCAUCGCCGUUUACUUUUGUGGCUUGGGUCUUCUAGCUCUUAGAAGCUUGUUUGUCUUUGGCUUUUUGGAUCUUCAAAACCUUCUUCACGAUCUUUUGCUCUUCAAUCAAAAAUGCUCGAAUAAUUCUGCAAAAUUUGUUUGAAUAAUAAUUGGUCCUUGUUUUACUCUGUUCCUGAAACUUCCGUACUUUGAAGAGAAGCAAAUAUUCAUUUGGCAAACAAAAGGCCUGCUGAAGUUUUUGCUCGAAGCAAAAGCUCCAAUUUAAGCAUUUCGUAUCACAUUGUACUUCUUCAAAUAACUAUACUCAAACAGCACUUUGCCAGAAAGUAAAAGGGACAGAGAAAAGGCCCUUAGAAACAUAAAGCACCAAAAUUUAUAUAGGUAACGAUGUAGUGGAUAGUUGUUAAGACCUUUCUCUAACUGCACCUCCAGAUAGAACUCCACCGUAGGCGCGGUUCACGGUCCUCCGGUUCCUGGAUAAUCUCGACCUCUUGUACUCAGCUGGCCUUAAGUGAGGAAUCUAAAAGCAUCCAAAAAAAACAAUAAGCACUCUGAAUAAAAAAGGGGGUGGGGGGGAGGGAAUGAUGAUACAUAUAAUACAGAUUCAGGAAAACCAACAGAUUGAACAGCAUUCUCCCAAUUCCAAUUCAAGCCCUAACGACUGCGCCAAAUUGAAACUCUGAAAGGUAAAAUAUCUAGUUUAACCUAUGCAAUUUUUGGUAUAAAAAAUCUGCGCUGAUAUAUUCUUGUAGCAAUCUAACUACACAUAUCUAUUCUCAAAACGUUUCAUCGAUCUGAAAAAGUGAUGGACCUCUCAACUGUAUAUUCGUACAUAGGCACAGGAAGGGAAAACAAAAACAACAGUUGCACAAUAAAUACUAAAAAAGUCGCCAGAGAUAAUGUGAAAUGUGUAUAAGAAGCUAAAUGUAUCUAAUAAGCAUGUUGAACAAGAUACGAGUCAUUGUAUACGAAACACAGGGAAAAAAAAAAUUUAACCAAAGAGUUUUACAGGUACCAAGUCCACUCUACGAUACUAAACAACACUAAAAUUGCAUCUUAUGCUUCAUAGAGAAGCCUAUAAACUCAUUCAACAGUAACGUUUAGUUCACAAACUUCAUAAUUAUAUGAUUGGUAUUCUAAAAACUAACUAAAAAUGCAAAUUUUAAAUGCGUGGAAUUGCUUACUCCUUGAAUUCUCUUGCCCGUCACCGGGCAUUUAGGUCCGCUCGCCCUCUUAUUCGUGUAUUGGUACACAAGCCUACCACCUACAAUCCAAAUCAAGCACAUUGAACACUAAUCCAUAAGCACAAUACAACAACAAACACUUCAAACGAAUAAAUAUAUAUAUUUUUAAACAAACACAUGAAUCCUCAUCGUGAUCACAUACAAUAUCUAAGCCAAAAAGAUGAAUUACUAAGAAAAAAAAAAUAGCUUUCUAGCAAAACAUAAUAGACCUUGCAUACCAAAAAAUGAAAAUCAAAUAUUUUGAAAUAAGCAUCUUAAAUUUGAACAUUUUGAUUUUAUGGCGUCAAAUUUUGAAAUAGUUAUAAAUAAGUAAAUUUGAUGCUAUUAGUAACAUUUUUGAUAGAAUAUUGCAUCCAGUAACAGAACAUUCUUUAUUCCGUUAAAUUAAGGAACAUAACGCGGGAUAAAAAUCAAAUCUUUUUUUGAAAUUCAUAUACCUAUUUCAGAAAUACUACAAAAUUAGACAACAAAAUCAAAAAUUUUCAAAUUCAGAUUUUGUGAUAUCAAAAAGGAAGGUAUGAUUCAACUAACUGAAAAAGAAACGAAACAAUAUUUGAUUCAACUCAUCGAAAAUUAAUGGAAAAAAAAAAAAACUUGGAAUGAUGGGAAUUGAAGGGGAAAGAGAUUGGGGGGAACGUUACCAGGGGUUUUAACAACCCUAGUUUGGUUGGAUUUGGUGGCGUAGCUAUGCCUCUUUCGAUACGUUAGUCGCUGCACCAUUUUCGCUUCUGCUUCUUCGCGAAGCUCUCUUUCUCUGUGUAAUGUAAAGCUCGAAGAAGCAAAAAAGAGGCGCCUUUUAUGGGCGCCGCCGUUUUGGGUAUACGGAAGAGGAGAAGGGUCAUAAAAAUAUGACCUAAAAUGGACGGUGCAGAUCUAGCCAUCCAACGGCCGAAAAGAUCGGGUGCACUGGACCGGUCCAAUUCACUCGACCUCGCGGGUUCGUUCGGACCCGGUUCGGCAAAUUAGUUGGAUUACUCUUCAACCUAGACCUAGUGGGUUCGUUUCGACUCGAUUUGGCAAUUCGGUUCGUCAGUUAGGCAUUGUUUGAUCCGGCUUUUGCUUUCAAUUUCAACUGCAGUUAAUCGAAGACUGUUUAGCCCUGCUCCUGCUUUUAAAUGAAAUAAACGAAGCGGGUAGUAUGUUAAUUGAAAACCGUCCCUAAAGUAAGUGGCAAAGGGUUUGGUGGUUGGUACCCGAGACCCAAGUUCGAAUCCUAGUUGAUUCACAUUUCCAGCGAAGUUAUUUCUAAAUGAAAUAAACGAAGCGGGUAGCAUGCUAUCUUUCUCUCAAAAAAAAAAAAAAAAAAAAUCAUCGCUUGUUAGAAAGAAAAUUUAUUUUGUCAAGAAUGGGAUUCGAACCCAUGCCCUUUCGGACCAGUACCUAAAACUGGCGCCUUAGACCAACUCGGCCAUCUUGACUUGUGUAUUUUUAGGCUUGUAAAUCUUAUAUUAAACAAAUCAAUAAAAUGGAGUAAAACUAUCACUAAUAUAUGAUUAUUAAUUUGAUAGAAAUUUAUAAUAAAUAAAAAUAAAAUUAUAACGUAGUUUGAUACAAUUUUUUUAAUAAAGGAUUUUUUUUUUGCAUUUAACCCCUCAGAAAUUUUUUUUUUUAUAAAUAAUUCCACAAUUUAUAUUCACAAAAUUGACGCUAUUUCCGCCACGCAAGUGCUAUGCGAGCGCUAAUUUAGCUUAAGUUAAACACGAUAUUUGAUUCACCGUAUUUUAUUAUUUUUUCUACAAGAUUUAAAAUUUAGAAGGGUUACGAUGAAUUAUUCAUGGUAUUUAAACAUGAUGAAUAAUUCAUCAUGUUCAGCAUAAUCUUCAUUGCCAUCGAUGCUCGCGUGGUAAGGAUAGGGUUAAUUUUAUAAAUAUAAAUUUUAUGUAAAAAAAAAUUCCUAACAAGAUUAAAUGCAAAAAAAAUUCUUAAAUCAAAGAUUGACAAAUGCAUAAAAAAUAAUUAAUUAAUAAUUUUUUUGAUACAGGAUAGUAAAGUGAUAUUACGCUAAACCAAGAUGAGAGGUAAAUUGAAAUUAACUCUAAAAUUUGUAACUGCUUUUGCAGAAUUAAAAAUUUGUUUUGAAUUUGAAUUUUUUUUAAAAAAAGUUAUUUUAAAAACUAGAUCAUAAAAAAUAAAAAAAACAUAAUUUGAUCAAACGAACGCAAAUGAAACCACGUCUAACGAUGAAAUGAAACCCCCUCUCCAUCACCAUCACCAUCACCAUCACCACCACCUCCUCCUCCGUUCCCUUCUCAACGAAACCCUAAACCCUCUCCACCACCUCCGAGCUCUCUCCACCUCCUCUCCCAAUCCCCGCACCACCCAUGUCCCCGAAUCCCCUCCUCUCCCCCCCGCCACCUCCCUCUCCCACCGCCACGCCCGCUCCCUCCCCGUCUCCGGCUCCCCCGCCCGCGCCCUCCACCUGCUCGACGAAAUGCCCCAACCAAACCUCGCCUCCUACAACCUCACCCUAUCAUCCUACAAUCGCCUCUCUCGAUUCGACAAAACCAUCUCCGCCUUUCGCCGGCUCCGUCUCGCGGGCUUCGUCCCCGACCAAUUCGCCUACGGUAGCGUGCUCUCGGCUUGCGCCGCUUCGGAGGACGUUGCAUUCGGCGAGCAGGUCUAUUCAAUUGUUUUGAAAUAUGGGUUUUGCUCUAAUGGGUAUGUUUGUACCGGAAUGAUUGAUCUAUUUGCGAAAAAUGGGAGGUUCGGUGAUGCAGUGAAGGUGUUUGAGGAAAGUGCUAAUCGCGAGAAUGUUGUUUGUUGGAAUGCCGUUAUCGCUGGAGCGGUGCGGAACGGCGAGAAUUCGGUUGCUUUGCGGCUUUUUUGUGAUAUGCUUGCCGGGUUUUGUGCGCCGAAUGGCUUUACCUUCUCGAGUGUUCUGUGUGCUUGUGCAGCGGUCGGGGAGCUCUGGGUUGGUAGGGGUGUACAUGCUUUGGUGGUCAAAUGUGAUUCGGAAGCCGAUGUCUUUGUCAGAACUGCCAUUGUAGAUUUGUAUGCGAAAUGCGGGGAUAUGGAUGCGGCGAUGAACGAGUUCGUGCAUAUGCCGAUUCGUAAUGUGGUCUCUUGGACCGCGAUUAUCUCCGGUUUUGUUCGGGAGGAGGCCGCAUUUGAUGCUCUAAGACUUUUUAAAGAAAUGAUCAAAAGCGGUGUAGAGAUUAAUAAAUGCACUGUAACUAGCGUCCUACUCGGCUGCUCGAAGUCGUCAAGGGCGAAAGAGACUAAUCAAAUACAUUGCCUUACUUUGAAGAAUGGGCUGUAUAUGGAUUCUGUUGUAAAAGAGUCUUUGAUUAGCACGUAUGCCAAAAUUGCGAAUUUUGAAUUGUCUGAGAGGGUUUUCGAAGAAAGUGGCGCGGUGAAAAGCCCCGCUACUUGGUCGGCUUUGAUAACCGGUUUGAGUACUCACAGCUCGAUAAGAUCGAUCGAACUCUUAAAGAAGAUGUUUCGUGAAGGUUCUAAACCCGAUUCAAGAUGUAGCUCAGUUGUUCUUAGCACCAUUGACUCGGUAGAGCUCGGGAAACAAUUCCACUCUGUUGUUGUUAAAGAUGGAUCUGUUCAUGAUGUUCUUGUGGGUAGCGCACUUUCUACCAUGUAUUCUCGGUGUGGUGGUAUCGAAGAUGGGUACAAAAUUUUUAUGCGAAUGAAGGAAAAGGAUCGAGUUUCGUGGACUUCGAUGAUUUCUGGAUUUUCAGGACACGGUCGUUCAGUUGAAGCAUUUCAGUUAUGCAGGGAAAUGAUUUUUGAAGAUAUUAAACCUGAUCCCGUAGCUUUAUCUGCCAUUCUCGCAGCAUGUGAAGGUCAUAAGUGUUUAAUAAAAGGAAUGGAGAUUCAUGGAUAUGCUCUUCGUUUUGGAUUCGGGAGUGAGAUGCCUGUCAAUAAUGCUCUUGUUUCCAUGUAUUCCAAAUGUAAGAAUCUAGUAUUAGCGAGGAGGGUUUUUGAUCGAAGUUUAUACAAAGAUCAAGUCAUGUGGUCCUCUAUGGUGUCAGGGUACGCGACAAAUGGCUAUAGUGAGGAGGCACUGUCGCAAGUCAAGUCCAUGCUGAGUGCUGGUUUUGAGCUCGACCAUUUUUCGUGUUCGUCUAUUCUUGGUUUAUGUGCUAACCUAUCAAAGCCUUGUUUCGGUAGGCAAUUACACGGCCAUGCAAAUAAAGCCGGAACGAUACUCCAUCUUUCUGUGAGUUGCGCACUACUCGCAAUGUACUCAAAAUGUGGUAGCAUUGAGGAUUCUCGUAUAGUAUUCGAAGCGAUAGAAAACCCUGAUUUGGUCACAUGGACGGCUAUGAUAGACGGAUAUGCUCAGCAUGGAAGUGGUCUUGAAGCUCUCAGUAUCUUCAAAACGAUGAUUAAACAUGGAAUGAGCCCAGAUUCUGUAACUCUAGUGAGUGUUUUAUCCGCUUGUAGCCGCAACGGUUUGGUCGAAGAAGGCUUUUUCUAUUUUAAUUCCAUGAGAACUGUUUUUGGGAUCGAACCCGAGUCUCACCACUAUGCAUGUAUGGUCGAUUUACUUAGCCGAUCAGGGAGGCUUAUAGAAGCUGCAAACUUUAUUAACAGCAUGCCGAUAAAACCGAAUUUUCUGAUUUGGAGUACAUUGCUUGCUGCUUCUAGGGUUCAUGGUGAUGUUGAGCUGGGAAAAUUAGCGGCAAGGAAGGUUCUUGAGAUGGAGAAUUGUGAUUCGGGUUCGUAUAUUUCUCUAUCGCAUAUCUCUGCAGAUAUUGGAGAUUGGGAAGAGGUAUUGAGGAUUAGAAGAUCUAUGAAGGGUAGUUCUAUGAAGAAAGAACCUGGGUGGAGUAUUACAUAAACACUGGGUUUGACAUGGUAUAUAAUCUUUUGCUGUUACAACUUGAUCAUUAAAUUAAGAGGAGGGAUUUUGUUUUGCCUCCACCACUAUGCCUAAACCAAUGCUUAAUUUGUAUAAAGAGAGAUGUUGUAGAAGGUAUUGAUGAUUUUCGGAGUUCGAAGAUCCGAGGGAUUGAAGAAGAAAUUCCCUCUGAUUAAUGUUGAACAAAAAUAACACAUAAUGUUACAGAAAAAGAGAAUGUGAAAUGUGAUGUUUUGGUUAUUCAACUGGAGUAGGAAAAUUCAGGGUGGGGAACUGAAAUAACAAGGUACUGCUUCAGAAGGAAACAUGUGCAGCAGUGCACAUGAAUGGAGAGAGUGAUAGAGCUUGUUAUGUGAUAUCAAUUAACCCUCUGUUUUAACUAUUUUUACUUGAUUUUCUUUGUAAUCUCUACAUUCCAUCAUGAUUCUGCUAAUUCAUUAAUGUGACAUGUUCUACUAAUAAAGGUUUAUCAGCGAAUGAAUAAAACAAAAGCAGAAAAGAAGUUUGUUUGCAAUAGUCUUAAGUCUGAAACCCACAUCUGCUUAAAAUACAUUUCUGUGUGACAGGUGGAAGAGAAGUGUGAUUCUAUGUUAAAGAGAAGUGUAACCUAAGCACAAACACUUAUUGUAAUUUUCUUUUUUCGAUAAAUGCUUCAUGUUUCAGUAUAAGACAUUUACAUUAUUGUAGACACAUCUCAUUCCAUUUGGUAUUAGAAGACUAUAUACAUCAUAUCCUUAAGAUCUGGACAAAGAAAGCAAAGCUAGAGAGAGCGAGUCGAAAGCUACACACAUUGAAGCCGAGUGUUGAUGGAGGUCACGGGCAUUUGAAGUUUGUAUUAAUGUGGCUCUUGACGAGGCGAGGUGGGAGAUUCGGGUUCGGUGGCGAACUGGAGUCCCCUUUGUUGCCCUGAUUGAAGAAUGAAUGCUACUUCAGCUGCGGCUAAGUCUUCUGCUUCCUGAACACCAGGAGUUAGUUAAAAAUAUCAGAUGCCAAUUAAUAUAGCAAAUAUUUCGCUAGACGAAGAAGAUCAAAGAAAGAAAAGAUGUUAACAAGUUCAAAUGAAACAAGUUGAAGGAUAUAUAUGCAAGUUUAGAAGAGCAUAAGGGCGAAUAUUCCAAAAAGUAAGGAUUUGAGGAUGUAAUUCAUAGAUUACUAACUGAAUACCGACCUGCCUUUCUCUUCGGCGCUGCAAGAUGCUUAUGGCCCAAGCCAUGAUGUAACAAGGUAGCAGAAAACCAGCAGCACGCAACAAGAAGAGCUGUCAAAUUCAGAAGAAAUGUUAAUGGGCACAAUUAUAAGAUCAGCCAAAUUAACAAUAUAAAAAACAGAGAAUAAUAGGGUUUGAUCCUACGAAUCCCCGCUUACUGAAAAAAUUGUGGCAGCAUCGUCUUCUUCAUCGCCAUUAGUUAUGUACACGGCGUGCCUCAACAGCAAAAUAGCCAUUAACUGGACAAAACAAAAGAGAAACAGUUAAGAUUAUGCAUUGUUUCAUGAAAUGUGAAAAAGAAAAGUUACGAGGUUGAAGUGCAUUGAACGGCAAAUUUUAUUACAGGAUCUGGUAAGCAAAGUCAAAACAGAUAAGGUAUAGGUGAAUGUUAAUGGAUAAAAGUGUGAUAAAGACUUACAAUUAGAGCAGAAGAGCGGCAAAAAGCAGCACUACUAGCGUUUGUGGCAGCAUAGUCAUCAUACUCGGCUUGAAGAAAAUGGCGCUGUGCUGAUGUUACCGCAAGAAUCCUAGGAUCAUUAAUAUCCAAUCGGGUGCCAGUGACGGUCCAACCUCCACUAAAACAAAACAGAAUAAAGAAAUGAAGAACUCUGGACUUGGUAAUUUUAAAAGCUAAUAGCGAUGAUACAAGAUUCUCUUCUCAAAGCAUUAAAUUCACUCCAAGUACACAGAAAUGACAACAACUUUAAAACAUCACAAGAGUAACCUGCCUUAUAUCAAUUGCUAUCGCAUCAGGAGGGGGUCGGGGAGGUGCAGUAUAACCAGGCUUGUAUUGCUGCAAGUAACAAGUUAACAAACUAAUAUUAUGGUUUUAAUGUUAAAUAAGAUACCAAUGUUCGAAAUUGAAUGCAAAACACCAGCAGAGUCUGCAAAGAAGCUGGGAACUUUUUAAAAGACAAUUUUCGAGAAACAAGAGGAACUUGAAUACCAAAAUGAAUAAUGAAAAAGAAAAGGUGAUGCAGCAGAAUGGGAACUUUGUAAAAGACAAUUUCAUCAAGUAAUAUGAAGAGUUUUAAUUGCAUUGAAGAAGGCAAAACGGGGAGAGGAUCUAACGUUAAUAGGUAAAGUAACAAUAAUGUAGCAUGCUGUUGGCUAUGGAGGAAGUAAAAAAAAAAAAAAAACAAUACCAACCUCAUGACAGAUUUCACAGGUGAUGUCUCCUUUCUCAUUGCACCAUCGUUGCACGCAUGCCCUAUGAGCAUACUACCGUGACAAGAAUUGUAAAAUAAGAUUCAACAUCGAUAUGGAAUACACUGAAAGAAGAAAUAAUAAUAUUCGGAAAAAUGCCAUCAAUACAAAUAAAGAAAUAAGUUUUUGCAAGAUAACCAACUGGAUCUGAGAUCUAUAUUUAGUGAACAUCUAAGACCAAAAGCAGUCAAAUGGCAGCAAGCACCGGAUCUAUUGCGCACCCAUAUCAAAAAAUCUCACAAAUGCUGUCUCACCACGAAAGGUAAAAAAAGAAAAAGAAAAAAAGAAGCAAAAACAACAUGCUGUUUCAAGUUAAGUAUCAAACCCCAUAUCGCAAUUCCAUCAAAAGAAGGCUUGAAGCCUAAAGAAAGUCAUGGAUAUAAACUAAAGAUAAAUCUAUACAAUUGAAACGCCACCAAGACAAGUUACAUGCCAAUAGGGUACCUAACAGGGAUAAGCUAAGUAUCAGCCCCUAUAUCACAAUUCCAUUAACAGAAAGGCUUUGAAGCCUAAAAUAAGACAUCAUGAAUAUAAACUGGAGGUAAAUCUAUAUAACUGAAAUGUCACAAAGGCAAGACGCCAAUAGGGUACCUAACAUUGGGAAAUCACAUGCUUUUGGAGUGGUUUGCUUUGGAUUGGGAAGUGAUGAAUAGCCAAGACAUAGACAACCGCUAUGCUUUUCUUGGGCUCUCCAUUAUUACAUCCACUAGUGAGACAGCAAGGGAAGACCUAUGUGCCUAUUUGGCCUGGCUCUGAGAAGAACUUCUCGAACUCUGACAACCUCCUGCAAACAUAAACUCUGGUGCUUCUACUGUGGUAAGAAGCCAAAGUGAACUUUUAAGCUCCUUGGAAAAGGAGAUCCCAUUUGAAGCUUCUGCUUCUGCUGCAACAAGAAGAUGUUGAAAUGACUAAGGAAAAACUAACUAGUGCUUCUUCAAGGAGCUCUACUUGAAUAGCACUUCUAAAGAAUCAAAACCCAAUCUAAUGCAAAUCAUACGUCACAGAAAUAUACAAGCCAAGUUACCAGAGAAACUACCUGAUCAGAGAAUGAUAUAACCUUACAUAACAAUGCGUCCAAAAAUUGAAAUUGCCAAAAGGAGAAAGGCUUAUGUAGUUAUGUAUAUUAUACCUUGAGACUACCACUGCAAGCACAAGGAGUCUCCAGGUUCUUGAUGUGAUCCUCCUCCUGGCAAAUACGACACUCAACCACCUGAAUAAGUGGCUCUUCUUCCUCUGCAGUCACAACUGCUACCUGCCCUAUCGAUGGGGACAGAGAAACAGGAGAGGGGGCACAUGUAACUUCCUUAGAGGAAGAUGAUGAUGACGAUGAUGAAGCAUUUAUUGUCUCCAUGCUUGGGGACGUUGUCGGGUGGUCCACGUGCAACACUAGAUAAUCCCCCAUUUGCCGAAACAGGUAAAACUUUUCUCUCUUACACGACAAAUUCAACAAGAGUUGCAACAAAGAUCCCUCUUGGAAGAUGUAAACUACUAUAACUCCUUGGGGAAGCUUGUGAUUAACGAUCCAAUUAUCGGUAAACCUAGAUCCACCUCCCCUGUAAGUAACGAAACACGUCAAAUUACACUAAAAGGCUUUGUCCUGAAGCCAAAUUUGCCAUUUCGAGGUGAAAAACAACAAAAUAACAACAAAUUCAACAAAAGCUUUAACAAAGGACCUCUUUUGAAGAUAUUUACUACUUCAAUUCCCUGGGGAAUCUCGAGAUUACCGACUAAAUCAGCAAUAGCCCCAGUUCAUAACAGUGUAAGCAACGCAAUGCCCCAACUUACACCAAAAACUUCGAUUUCAAGAGGACUCCACCAUUUUAUAGGAAAAAUAUAACAAAAUGAGGACAAUUCAACAAACUUUUGCGGCAACGCAACCUAUUUUCCUUGGGUAAGCUCAAAUUAACGACUCAAUUGUCGAAAACCCUAAGUCCGCCUUACCGUAAGCAACGAAAUGCCCCAAAUUACACCCAAAUCUUCGACUUGAAGAUAAAUUAACCAUUUUUAAAGAGUAAAAUAACAUAAUCAAACCACAAAAACGUUCGAAAUCGAAGAAAUAUACCCAAAACAAACCGAAACAUCAAAUCCCUCAGAAAAUGGGUAACAAUUGGGCGAAAUCGCACAAAACUACACCAAAUCGAAGCGUUUCUCCUCCAAAAUCCACACCAACAUAGAUCACACUCAAAGAGCUAUAAUAAUAUACAAAAAAUGAGGGGGUAAAAUGGAAUCGCCGUACCUCGAGAGCGCUCUUCAACGUCGCCUCUCUUCGUUUUCUCGCCCCCCUCUCUCGUCUAUGAACACGCGAAAUAAAGGGCUCCGAUUCCACCAGAAACUUCUACGUGAACCCCGUUCACCACGUCAUUCUCAAAUAACUUGAUCAUUACCGUACAUUAGGAACAAAGAGGGUAUAUCGACGGUAUGAUUCAAAUAUACACAGGACGGUCCACAGAUGACGUGGUAAACACGACGCAGCCUAAUUUUUUACGUAGAGUGGGUAACGUUUACGUGCCACGUAGGAGGAUCCGAACCCGUAGGCUCGGUAACGGCUCUCUAACGGCGCGAAGCCGUUAACCCUACCGUUUAGUCGACGUGACGGCGCUCCGUUACUUAGCGGCGUCGGUGGUUCGGCUCUCGGUGUCAUGGAGACGCACACGACCACCUUUUCUCUUUUAUUUUUUUUAAUUUUUUUUAUCCGUUGAAAAAGUAUGUUUCUCUUUCUAAGAUAUUCAGAGUAUAUUUACCCAGGCUAAUGCUACUAUCCUAUUAAUAGGAUAAGAGCACUUGUCCUAUCAAGUUGUUCUUGAUGAUCGAGAUUUCGAAUCGAUGAUCGGAGCUGUUGAAGUUGAUCUAGAGUAUUUGAAAUAUCUUGAAACUAAAUUUCAUAAAUUUUGAUAAUGGUUUACAUGGUGAUCAAAGUGUCGUAAAAUCGACAAUUUUUGACGGCCUAUAUGAGCCGUUUGCUUGUUUAACGGUGUAGAGCAAUCCAAAUUGCUUGAAUUUUUGAUAGAAAAUUCUUUAUACUAUUUAGAUAAUGUUUGAUAACUUUGAUUACGAACUGAGAAAGUCUAACCUCUAUUUUAAGAAGGUUAUUCAUUUAUGACCAUUCAUUUUUCAACUCUUAAGAUGAACUUGAUAAUGAUUUUUAAAUAAUACAAAAUUUGGUUUCUAAAUAUUUCUAAUUGUGUAGAUCAACUUCAACGGUGCCGAUUAUCAAUUUGAAAUUCCGAUCAUUCAAAUCGACUUGAUAGAACAAGGGUCCCAAUCCUAUUAAUAGGAUAGUAGCCGGACCCUAUUUACCCAAACAAAAACUAUUAUUCAUUUUCAUCUUUAAUUAUUUAUAAUUAUACUUAUAAUAGAGUAUUUGGAAAGAUAAUAAUAUUCUAGUGUUAAUUUUUUAUCAUUUCAAUCUUUUAAAUUAUAUAGUACUAGAGUUAAUCCUAAACUAUCACCAUUUUGCCAAAUCAUGAGUUCUAAUUUCAUAUUUAGUAUAUGCGUAUGUAGGGGUGGCAAUCCAGCUCGCUGUUCGCGAGUUAGCUCGUGUUCGGCUCGAAAUGAGCUCGAGAUCGAAUCGCUCGUUUAGUAAACGAACCGAACAAGAGCUGAAAUUUUCAGCUCGUUUGAUAAAUGAGCCGAACAUGAGUUGAGGUCAGCCUGCUCGUGUUUGGCUCGAUAACAAUUCAAAUACAUAUAUUUUAUAUUUAUAUAUAUAAAUAAAUAAUUAUAUAUAUAUAUAUAUAAUAUUUUUUUAUUAUUUGAUUUUUAGUAAAAAAAAAUAUAAAGUUGAGUUUAAUUAUAAAAAGAUUCAUUUAUAAGUAAAGUUUCAAUCAUUAGAUCAAAAUUUAAUUGGUAAGAUUUUAUAAAUUUAGUUUUUUUAUAUAUAUUCAUUCUAAUCCAUUUUACUUACUAUUUGUUGGCCAGCUCGUAAGUCAGUUCGUGUUCGACUCGUUUAUUAACGAGCCGACCACGAGCUGAAUUUUUCGACUCGAUACUUUAACGGGCCGGUUCCUGUUCGGCUCGUUUAUAAACGAACCGAACAUAAGCCAGCCCCAGCUCGCUCGUGUUCGGCUUGUUGACACCCCUAUGCCGAUGUGCAUGUAUUAAAAGUGUUUCUGGAUUAUUUUUUAUUAGAUUGAUUUUUGGGGUAAUAAGUAGAAAAUUGCAUAAAGGCCUUAAUGCACGCAAAUACAACAAUUUGUUAAUAACAUUAAUAUAUAUACGGCUUAUAUUAGUAGUGACUAAUUAAAUAAUAAAUAACAACAUUAUAAUUAGUAAAUUAAUUAAAUUGAUAAACUUAUGUUAGUUAACUACAAAUUUAUUAAUUUUGGCAAAAAGGAUUAGAUAUCUUGUCACCUUCUUUCUCCACUGUACUUGUCCCAAUCUACAAUAUUGAGUCCACUGUUUGUUUAGUACUUCAAAAAUUAUUGAAACUUUGUGACUUUUUUUAAUUUCUAAAACAAAUUUUAAUAUGAAUUUANCAAAUUUAUUAAUUUUGGCAAAAAGGAUUAGAUAUCUUGUCACCUUCUUUCUCCACUGUACUUGUCCCAAUCUACAAUAUUGAGUCCACUGUUUGAAAAUAAUACAUUAAAUUAUUGAAACUUUGUGACUUUUUUUAAUUUCUAAAACAAAUUUUAAUAUGAAUUUAGGUGUUUAAUUAUUAACACUAAUUUUAUUUGACCAAUUCACCACCUUACAUGUAUUUCUUCUAUCUCCCAUAAGAACAAAUGGUAGUUGCAAAUUAAUUCAAUUAUUUAAUGUAUUAUUUUUUUUUCUUUUAUUAAGCACUAGCUUAGUUAGGGUAACUCAAUGAAGGUAUUCAAUUGAAAAUAGGAUAAAAAAUAAAUUAAGAGGUCACUUCAAUGCAAUUCUCUUAAACUAACAGUGGUUGUGUGACAAUGACAUAGCCCAAAAAAAAAAAAAAAAACUAAUGCAACAAUAUAUAAAUUUGGAAACUUAUUUCUAACUAAUAUUUCUUAAAUUUAAAAUUGGCACUGCAAAUAUUAUAAGGUCAUGAGAUAUAAUUUCUUUUAUUCCAAAAAAUAAUCUGUAGGCCAAAUAUUAUAUUUAGUUGUAGGAAUCUAGUCGUACUCAUCAUCCACUGAAGUAAACCAAAAAUAUGUGACGGACAAGAUGUUCCUGCAUCCAAAUAUAUUCGGUCUAUCCAGCAAUAAUUUCUACACUAUAAUAUUUUUCUGGGCAUAUGCUAUAUACAUGCUUUAUUGUUGUGGAGCCUUAGGCGGACAGAGAAGGUUAUGUCCGUUUGGCGUCUGUGUACGCGUCCGAACCGACUAAAUUAGCGGUCGCGGGAUAUAACAAAAAUAAUUCCUAUGAUUUGAACUUAACAAUAUACUUUCACCUUAUUGUAAUGUCCUCCUAUAUAUGAUAUUAAUUAUUUAUCUUAUUAUGGAAAAUGAUUUAAAGGUCGCAUAUAUAUAUAUAUAACGAUUUUAUCCAAAUUUUAGGAACCCUAUGAUCUUUUUUCUUAACCAACUUUGCGUAAAAUGUGUAUAAUUUUUUUUUUUUGGACUAAAUGUCAUGUGAAGCUCGCGAAAUUUGAAACUAAUUAGGAGCAAAACAUAUUAAAUAACUGAUUUCUCCAAAAACUUAUGUUAUUCGAGAGCAUUUAGGGGUUAAAAUUAAAAAGGACCAAAGGCAAUUAAUAAUAAGCCAAAAGCAUAGAAACUAUCCAUACUUUUUAACCCCAAGGGAUUGAUUAAUUACAUGCUCAUUUCUAAGAUAGCAAACCACCCUUGCAACUUAACAACAAGCACAUUUAGCACUACAAAAUAGAGCCCAUAAAAAGCCCAUAGUAAGUAGGCUAGGCACUAGAAACCACAUGGGCCAAGCCCAUUAAAGCCCAAAGCCCAUUAAAGGUUGUCGAGCUCGUCACCGCCGCCAACUUGCGGCGAUGCCUGGCUCUGCAAGCGUCGUAGCUUGAAAGACGAGAGCUUCUCUGCUUGCUGCGGUGACAUAUCAUUUAAGCGUAUAUAGUUGUAGGCCCACGCGCCUGACAACGUGCCAAUAGGGGGCCCCAGAAAGUAUACCCAGAGCCCGCUGUAUAUCUUGCUCGCGACCGCGGGUGCCAGCGUCCUUGCCGGGUUCAUCGAUCCGCCAGAAACCGGUCUGCACAACUCAUUGUAGCUCAAAAAAUGUGAACCCUAGGUGAUCUUAAGCUUAUUCAUGUUUUAAAAAAAUAUUGCCCAUAAUAAUAUUUUUAUUAAGGAGCAUCACAUUUUUCUCUCCUCUAUAUUUUUGAAACAUAAGAAUGUAACACUAUGUUUUUGUUUAUUUUUCUUUGGGCUGCCUAAAAGGCGCAUUUUGGGUCCAAAAUAUUUCCAAGCAUGGGAUGAUGCAUUUUUGCACGCUAGACCUGAUAAUUUUUCAAUAUUAAUUAGCAGCCACCAUAAAAAAUAAAAUAAAUGGUGGUUACUAAAACUUAGUUUUCUUUCAUGUGUAUUAUUAUUAUUAUUAUUUUACCCCGCAAAGAUAGAAGUUAUGCAAACUGAGGAGCCAACUGCUAAACCUGCCAACUCUCCCACCUACAAGAUAAUGCCCAAAAAAAGAUUAGAUUGAUGGAAAAGAAAGAAAAAAAAGAGAAGAUAUAAAGCUUUUGAAAUUUGAUUUGAGGAGUUUAUAAUAUACCGCUCUGGUGUCAGUCGCGACCGCUGAAGUGACAAACAUCAUGACGAAGGUGACAACGAUCUCUAUCACGAGUGCCUGCCACUCCGUCCCCGACGGCGUCGUCGUUCCAAGAUUCGUAAUCGGGUGGAGCACCUCACGCAGAAUAAAGGCCGCAAUCAUGGCCCCGGUGAGCUGUGCCGACCAGUAAAAGGGCACCUGCAAGCAGCGUGCUAAGAGUUUUAGAACCUGUUCCGAUGUUGUCGACUCGUAACAACUCUUAUUCUUUUGGAAGCUCGAUAUCAACCAUUCGAAAAGAAUAUUAGGUCCAUUAUAACCUUUUCAUCUAAACAGAUAGCGAAUGAAGGACACAUCAGGUAUGAUUUGAUCGAUCUUGGACUUAAUUUGUAUAUUCUAGCACAAACAUUUAAGGAUAUUUUCGUAGGUCGAAAGUUUGGUCCAAAAUGGCUAGAUUGGGUCAGGUCACAUCAGGUGAUCAAAAGAGAGAUUUUGGAUCCCAAAUAAAAGCGAAUGCGAAGAUCGACCCCAAAUCAAAAACCUAACUCGACUUGCUAAAACUCAGGCAUCAAACAAGGUUGUGUCCGUUGGAUCGACUUUAGAUAUAUCCAGCUGUAAUUCUGUAAAUAUCUAUUCAUACUCCUUAUCAACCAAGUACAAAAUAUUUGUCGAAUACUUAGUAGAGAUAUGCUACACAUGCUUUAGUAGACCAACCCAAUUUGACCUAUAAAGUACGUAGUAGUUUUGAAAUUUAGACUAAGUCGGGUUUUGGACGUAAUUAUAACUUGGUUAGGCUUGAUCCUAUCCUGACUCGGUUUAGCCCGACCCAUAGCGAUACCAUAUCUAAUCAACCUGAGUAAAUAAAUGGGACUACAAAUUUUUUAUGACAUUAUUUUUAUAUAUUAUUAAUUAAUAUGGUAGCAAUGCAUUAUUCAUGCAUGUUAUAAACAUUUUCCAAAAAGUAAAUAAAGAAGCCAAAAAACUCUUUUGGACUUGGAAUAAUGGACGUACAAGACAAGAAGUGACUUGUUUGUCCUGGUUUUAUGAUUGAGGCAGCAUUGCAAAUCCUAGUGGCCUAGACUAGACCUUAGCUCUCAUGGCUUUUUUCUUUUUUUUUUUCUUUUUUUCGGCGGGGGGGGGGGGGGGGGGGGUAAGAUGGUGUUUAAAAAUUAUGACUGUAUUUUCUUUCCUUCUUUUAUUUCUGAGGCCGACUGUCUCGUUGUAUAGCUAAGUUUACUAUCUAAAUAAAUAAAACGGUAGCAUAUUAUUUUUUUCUCAAAAAAAUAUAUUAUCAACUGUAACUGAUGCAUCUGUAAAUAUCAUGCCAGCACCAAUUUUAUCCAUCAAUUGUCACCGUCAUAUCUUAUGCUUUGAUAUCAUUAUAAGUACUUUAUUAGACAGAAAGAAUAGUGACAUGUAUAGCGAAAUAAAGAAGAAAAAAGAAAAGAAAAGAAAACUUUUUCUGAUUUUGAAUAUGUAUAGAUGAUCGAUUAAGAUAAAAUGACAUUUGAUGGGCAUUAGUUUCUUUUUUCUUUUUCUUCUCUUCACCCUUCACUCUUAGAUAGAAACAUGUUACCUCAUCGAGGCUUAUUUUUACUUUAUUUUUCUUCCCCUCUUUUUCUUUUCCUACUUUGAAAAAAAUGGUUCUCUCUUCUAAUUAUAUUUUCACCUCAUCCAAAUAGAGCACAAGGUUUUUCUUUUUUUUUUUCCCCUUGAUCAACAAUCAAAAUAUUUGUGAAAAUUAAAGUACUAGAUAAGAUGAUUGUAGGAAGCAACGGUGAUGCGCGAGUUAUAUAUGCAUAUGCACCGGAUAUAUAUAAUAUAUAUAUAUAUAUAUAUAUAUAUAGUUGGACUGGACUACUAUUAGUAGCAAAAUUUUAUUUUUGCUAUCAGUUUUUUUAGCGUUUGGAUCAACUCUUUUCAUUAUUUCUAACCAUCGGAUUAAAUAACAUAACCCAGUGGAGGCCACUCAACCCUAGGGGGACCACUCAACUCUAACCGACUAAUAUCAUCCGACCCUAUAAUUUUUCAUCGAAGAGUUAAAAAUUGAUAGCAAAAAGAGCGUUUUACUAUUAAUAGUAUUCCAGCCUAAUUCUCAACCUCUCUCUCUCUCUCUUCUCAUCUAUUCUCUCUCUCCUCUCUCUCUCUCAUCUUCUCUCCUCCAUCUCUAUAUAGAUAUAUUAUAUAUAUAUAUAUAUAUAUAUAGAGUUGAGCUAUGAUACUUUUACAAGUAUCACCAUCAUGGUGCUAUUAGGUUUUAAGCCAUUGGAUCUAUUUUUUGAUUAUUAAUAGCUCUUGGAUUAAACAAUAUUUCACCUACCACCACCUACCACCACCUACCACCAUCAUUUCAACCUCACAUCUCUCCAUCCAAGGGUUAAAAACACACAAGUAUCACCCCUAUGAUUCUUUUACAAGUAUUCUAGUCCUACUAUAUAUAUAUAUAUAUAUAUAUAUAUAUGCAAUAAUUUCUCCUAUAUGUAUGUAUAGGUAAACCAAGAAUUUCCAUGCAACAUACAAAGUGAGAUCUUGGGCAUGCAUGUUGAGUUAUUCUCCAAAAAUUAUUCCUUGUCCCAUGUUUGAUAUUGGCCCAACUUUUUUCUUUGAAAAAGACACAAUAAUCAAGGCCUAUUUUGACUACUUUUUAAAGUGCUUUUUCUCUUUAGUCUAUUUAUCGAAAUCUUUUUUCUCGAGGAAAAGUACUUUUUUCACUAAUUAAUAAUGCCUCUAGAUACAGAAAUAACAUAAAUAACAUCUAAAAUAAAUAAAUCUAGAUCGUUGUGGUGCGGUCAAAUUUCGCAUUUAGACUGUGCUCAAGAGUUUAAUUUGUUGGCUUAGAACAUAGACUUGAACUCAGGAUGUUCUGCUUAAUUUAAUACUAACUCGACAACGAUAUUUCAACAUAUAUAACAAGAGAAAUGAAAAGUAGAUUAAGAAAUUUAAGAUGGGCACCAAAUCAAGUUGUUAGUCAAUUGUACUAAUUUCUUUUUUUUUUCUUUUUUUUGAGAGAUAGGUAGCACGCUACCCGCUUCGUUUAUUUCAUUUGGAAAUAAACUUAGCUAGAAAUGUAAAUCAACUAGGAUUCGAACUUGGGUCUCGGAUACCAGCCACCAAAUCCUUUGCCACUUGCUCUAGGGACGGUCGGUGUCAAUUGUACUAAUUUCAAUAUAUAUUUUGUGCAAGUUGUUGGAAUAUUCCAUCUUGUGUCUAGUUCAUAUAUGAAUAAUAAUCUCAUGCAUUGUCACUAAGAAAUUGUAUAGAGAUAAAGGGCUAUCAAUUUCUUAAUUAAUCAUUUUUAAAAAGACACAAUUGAGUAGGUUGUGAAGUCGAUCUCCAUAAAAGUGACUUGCAUGUUUGAAUAAAAUAUUAUGAGCUCUUUCUAUGCUUAAACUUAAUUGCAACAUCAAAGUAGUUCAAAGAAAAAGAAAUAUAAUUAGAGUAUAUAUAUAAACUCUAUGAUUAGUUUACUUAUCACGUGGGUAGAUAAGUUAAAUUAGCGGGUACAAUUAAUUCCAUAUGGAUUUAUGGGUAUGAUUAAUAUAUUAGGUAGUUAUUUAGUUAACUGAGUCCUGUGUAGUACAUGGCCAAAUUAAUGAUAUACCCACUACAUAUAAGUUCUCUACCACUUUAUCAUAGUGUCAAUAAUUUCUCAAAAAAAUUAUGAUAAGAAAUAAGGAUCUCGAUUCAUAGUGUUUAAUUAAAAGUUAGAUAGUUGUUGAGUGUAAGUUUUAUCUUAGUCGAGAAAUUAACAAGGAAAAAAAAAACCAGUGAUGUAUGCUGGAAAGGAAUAUGAUUUAAGAUAACUUUUCAAAAGGAAAAAAAAUUGUCAGAGAAAUGGAAAUGUUGGGUGAAAUUUAACAAGAAAAGGUCAUCAAUUGUUUUCAAUGACAACUUGUUAUUUUUAUGAGCAUUUAUAUCGUCAUGUCCUAUCGUCCACAGGGACGUAGAGAGAGGACAGAGAGAGACAUUGAAAGGGGGGAAGAUAAAAUUGAUCCUGACAAAUUUGACGAGGUUUAAUGAAUCUGUUCUGUCAAUAACAAUUUUUACACUGAAAUAGAGAUCGAGAUCAGAGCGAGGGUCACAGAAAACCAACCUGAAUCCAAGGGAAUUGCCCAUGCUUUGAGACAGCGAAGGCUAGAGUGACAGCGGGAUUCAUAUGCGCGCCGGAGAUGUGUCCGACGGAAUAUAUCAUCACCGUCACGAUAAGCCCUCCCGCGACCGAUGCACCGAGCUGCGAAAUGCGGGUCGAAUCAUUUUUGCUAAGCGCGGCCGCGCCGCAGGUCACAAACACCAGCAAGAAAGUAGCAAUAAUCUCAGCCACCACCUGGAGAGAAACGUAAAAGUACUCCGAUCAAUAUAUGUUUCAAUCACUUCAUCAUACAUGUAUGAUCCAAAACAAGAGCCAAAAAAGUAGCUACAUAUGGAUUAUCCAGUGUACAUAAAUACCAUACAUAUAAGACCAAUUCAAGUACUUAGUGCUAUGAUGUUAUAUCAUAUCAAAUGAUAAAGAGAGAAAGAAGUGAAUUGAGUGCUAGACCUUUCUGAGGAGAAAUGGAGGGAGAUACUCUCUAAAGGAUUUUUCCUGGUAGAGCACUCUUGGGGGGAUGGAGGAGCUUUGGAUUAUGUCUAUGUCAUGGAUCUCAUUGGAGUAGUUGGUUCUUGGGUUUGAAGCCAUAUUAUCUCUCUCUCUCUCUCUCUCUCUCUCUCUCUCUCUCUCUCUAAGAACCAAAUGUAUUGAGCACUCUCUAGAGAUGUGUGAGUUAUGUUUUGUGGUCUUAGAGAGUCCCUUUAGGGGAGUAUUUAUAGAAGGGAGGGAGAGUGCACUAAGUGGUGUUUCAUGGACAAAGGAAUCUACCACUCGCUCUCUCUCUCUCUCUCUCUCUCUCUCUCUCUCUCUGUGUGAGAGACAGAAGCACAAGCACAGGCACAGAUGCAUGCACACUAGAGGACCACAUAUACAACCAUCUAAUUAAACAACUUUGUGGUAUAUGAAAAAGGAAUACAAAUAAUCUUAACACUUCCGCUUAACUAUGUAUACGAAUAGAGUUUGAAUGAACCAUAUCAUAUACUCGGUUCAUUGGACAAAGUACAUCCUAAAAAUAGUAUUAUAUAUCACUCUCAGUUACAUACGUUAUAUAUCGAGAUUUGAAGAGAAAAGACGUACUAGACGAAAAUUUAGCCCAUUAACUGAAGGACAUAAGGAAUUAAGUCAAUUGAUUCAGAGCAGUUCUAACACAAUGCAUGUUACUUAUCACAUCAAUCAGUUUAAUAGAAAACAACUUAGGAAUAAUCUUAGCAUUGUGAUGACGUAACAAAAUUAACCCAGAGCGCCCAAAAAGAGGGUCUAAUUUGAACCUUUUGAAAAGUUCUAUAGAAAAAGCACUUCUGCGAACACUCGAACCGACCCGAACAGGCGCUUGUCCUCCACAACCGACCCACUUGAAAUAUAUUCUCUUUACCACUGCAUAAGAUGGCAACAUUGGGUUGGUGAUGGCUUUAAUUACUAGGCCUAAUGUGUGAAAAAAUGGUUAGUACGUGUUAGGCCCACACAUUUAGUGGCGAACGAUCACGCACCACUAACGUUUUGUGAUCGAUGUUGUGGGUAGGCAAAACGCGGUUACAGGCACACAAACAAGUUCCUUACGGUACGUUGUUAAGAAUAUUGGUUCUAUAUUAAACAGCACUUCGAAAUCUAACUUUCUACAUGUAAUCUAAAAGAUUUUUUUAAUGCAUUAACUUAAACUUUCGGCUGGUUCGAGUGUUCUAACAUGGUACGUAUAUCGGAGAUUGAUUGACAUUCAACUUUUUUACGUUUUACUUCGUCCUAAGCUCGCUUGGUAUUGUCUAGUUCGCGCAAUUCGGUUUCAUCUGAUUCUUGUAUUAGCACACACCUGAUCUCUAAUGUUGUCAACAUAAGCUUCAGUGUUGGUGGAUUAAUUAACCAAUGAGUUUUGUUUAUUAACUAAUCCUUUGAAGGAGAUUGUGAAAUAAUUUUUUUUUUUUUCCUGAAAACUUAAGCUGAUCGAUCGUAGAGACAUCCUUUCUGCAUGACAUGAUCAUUCUCCUUAAUUUAUUUCUUUUUUUUUUAUCCCUUUGCCCCAAAAUGGUUUGAACUCAUAGAAAAUCCUAUUUUUGGAGGAUUUGGAGCUCCAAAUUACCUUAUUAUUGACAAAUUCUUAUUUCUUAUCAAAUUCUAAUUAAAACCAAUAUUUGUAACAAAAUUUGAUUCUAAAUAUGUAGACAAAAGAUCAGAUAGUUAGAAAAGAUAAUUGUAUGUAUAAAAAUUUUUUGCACACGGAUAUAUCUUUCACAAAUUUUUACCCAAGUCCUUUUUUUUUUACCAUUUUUGGCAACGUAGGGUGGACUUUUAUACAGUGACAUUUCAUGUGGAUUAAAAGAUAAAAAUAGUGAUGUGAUCACUCCACAGUGAAAUAAUGUAGCACUGAGACUCCACCAAACAUUGACACGUACGUGUCCCCUUUAUAAUCCUAAGAUAAUACAUUGUUGAUUAGAUCCAACGCGUGAUUAAGCACAUUUUCAAGUAGUUAAUUAAUUAUCAACGCAAAUUGUUUUGUAUGGAAAAUUUGUUGCUUAAUUAGUUCCUUGACAAUGGCAUUGAGAAGUGCUUAGUUUAAUAAGGGCAUUUAGUGGCCCAUUAGAAAAUAAAAAGAUUAUUAAUAUUACCACAAUUACUAAAAAAGUUAUAUUUUAUUAAUGGGUGCUCAUAAAUCACAAAGCUGAGAAAUAAAUCUAAUAAUCACAUGAUUUGUGAAACCAGCAAUAAAAUAUAGUCGUGCGCAUAAAUUUGUUUAUAGAAAGUUUGUAGAACUGCUUGUACACAUUGUGUUAUGCUAAUUGUAUUAAUUAUAAAAGCAUGCAAAUUUUUUUAACAUGUUUAUCAUUCUACUCGAUCUCUCGUUGUUACCUGUAAAAUUUCAACUCAAUUAAGUUCUUAAUUCUUGUAGAUCAUUUUUAGAGUUUAUUACACAUUUUCAGUCCCUUAAUAGAGUAAACAUAAGAAAUAAAUUAGUACGUAGUUGACCUAAACUUUAGAGAUUAAAAAUGUCAUCUAAUAUGCUACCUCGAUCGAUUAUCUUAGUAGGAAAAGUCAUAUUGAAACAACUUUCUCGUCAUGCACAGUAAUAUUAAUUAUCUUAUUUUUAAAAUUAAUUAGAAUAUCUCAACAUGUUGGUGUGGCUACGAUAUCAUAUGUAAUGAUCAAUAUCAAUCGAGGCUACUACUAUUACAAGCAACUAAAUAUAUAUAAAUUGACCUUUCAAUACACAAUAUGGUCCCGAGUACUAGCUUGUUUUCAACUCAUUUAUACUUAUAAGCCAUUAUUAAACAUAUAUACCUAACCAAGGAUUAUUAGGGUGUUAUAAAUUAAGAUAAUUGAUUUGUGUAAGGACUGCUACUAUACAAUAUGUUUUUUUUUUUUUGGAGAAAAAGGUAGCAAGCUACCUGCUUCAUUCAUAAAGUGGGAUGAAUUAAGCGUACAAGUUGGAAGCAACAAUGGCCUCCGAAAAUGGCAAAAGAAGAAAACAUAGAUAAAGGAAAGGAAGAAAAGAAAGAAGGUGAGAACAGGAAGAGAGGGUGGGGGGUUUAGCUAGGUGAAGAGUGAGGUCGGGUCAGUAUACUCCAGUCACGAAUCAUACUGUUGAUGCGUACAACCGAUUGGACAGCGUUUGGGGGUGCGUCUCUAAAGAUGACAGAAUUUCUAUCUGACCAGACUGCCCACCAGGUUGCCGCCAGGUGAGUUAACCCUUGGAAUUUCUUCACAGCGUCAGGGGUUUCCGAUACUUUGGCCCAAAGCUCGCACGCCGCUCCCGUGGAAUCAGGAAGAUCAUCGAGGUCCACCAUAGAGAGUAAGAGGAAGCGAACAAAAAUGCAGUUAGCGAAAAGAUGGUUACAGCUUUCCGGGAGGACCCCACAUAGCACACAGAGCGGAUCUGCGGAUAUGUUAGUUGGUGUAAAACUAACAUAAAUAUAUACUUGGUCGGCAAAUCAUGUUAUCUAUGUCUUUUGUAUGCUUCUACAAACUAUCUUGUCAAAUUGUGAAAGUAGAAAUUUGAAUAAAUUAUCUCUACUCUUACUAGGAGCAAAUUGGAGCUUUUUUAUUAAGUCUUUUAGCCCUCACAUGAAAAAAAAGGAUUAAAUUACGCUAUUUUGUCUUUAAGUUAAUCUUAAAAUUUAUUAGUUCUCUGAACUUCAAUUUGUUGCAAUUAGUGUAUCAAUUUUUGAUGUGUUGCCAUGGAAUCCCUCAUCAAAAUUCAAUUAGCAUGUAAACUCCGAGAAUCAUUGUGUCAUAGUUGUUACAUUCACAAUAAAUUUAAGAAUGAUCAAGUUGCAUAUAUAUAUAUAUAUAUAAACAUAUAUAGUUUCUAAUAAUUAAUUAAACAAAACAACCAACCAAGAGAAAAAAGAAGAAAAAAAGAAAAUCAUUAAAGUUGAUGAGCAGGGCUGCUGUGUUCUCAGGAGCACGGAGGCCUGCGUGCUCCUGAGCUGUUUUCGAUGAUAGAAUUUUCGAAUCGACGAUCGGCUCCGUUAGACUUGAUCUAGCGCAUUUGAAGUUUCUAGAAAGUAAUUUUUGCGAUUUUUUGAUAUCAUUUAUCUAGUAAUCGAAAGGAUUCAAAAUCCAUAAUUUUUAAUGGUUGAUAUCUGCCGUGUUCAAGUUUAACGGUGUAGAAGUAUUCAAAUCAGAUGAAAUUUUGAUACAAAAUUCUUUAUACUAUCUACAACAAGAUCAGUAUUUCUGAUCGAAAAUUUUAAUGCUAUAUCACCACUUUUUAUAGGAUUUUUAUUUUCAGCCGUUAAAAGUUAUUGAUUUUGAAUCCUUUCGAUUGCUAGGUAAAUGAUAUUGAAAAAAUCGCAAAAAUUAUUUUCUAGAAACUUCAAAUAUGCUAGAUCAAGUUUAACGGAGCUGAUUGUUGAUUCGGAAACUCCAUCAUCGAAAACGGCUCAGGAGCACGGAGGCCUCCGUGCUCCUUAGAGCACAGCAGCCCUGCUAUAUAUAUAUAUAUAUAUAUAUAUAUAUAUAUAUAUAUAUAUAGAACUAGGCUACUAUGCUAUUAAUAACACCAAGUCAUUGGUGCUAUCAAGUUUUUAGCCAUUGGAUUAAGAAAUGUGUGGUUAGGAUGAUGUGGGCCCCCUAAGGUUGAGUGGGUGGUUGGUUGAAUAGUAUGAUCUAACGGGUGAAAAUGAUCAAAAGAGUAGAUCUAACGGCGGAAAACUUGGUAGCACCAAGUGCUCCGUGCUAUUAAUAGCAUAGUAGCCGGACUCUAUAUAUAUAUAUAUAUAUAUAUCAAAGUUGUGUGGCAUGCAUGAAAUGUUUCCAUCAGUUAAUGAGGAUUCAUCUUUUCUUAUCCACCACAAUAUUCUUCAUCAUCUCUUGUUAGGCGCUUUGUCAUUUCAAACAUGGCAUUUUUAGACUUGUGCACAAUUGCACUAUUGGGAUAUACAAGUCAUGGUUGCAAUGAUGUUUAAUACUUCUACUUUAAACCUCAAUUGGGGCUCAUUCCUAUCAAUUUUUUUCACAAGUCACGAUAAGUGUUAAGGCUAUUUUUGAGCCAUUCCUAUGAAAUUGAUUCGGUGGGCAACACAAUAAAGUAAUGGAAUAUAAAUCUUUGACUCCUAUUUGGUAUCAUAUAUAUAGCUGCUUUUUUCGCUUUUUAAAUAUAAAUUUUUAUUUAACGAACUAUUCAGUAACAACUGUUAAUAUAUUUUAAAUUGUCAUUUGCAUCCGAUAGGAUUGCAUUACAAAUUUAGCCAAUGAUUAUGUAAAAUUCUUUAUUUAUUACAAAGAUUAAUAGAAAAGAUCUAAUUAGUUAAUCACAUAAACCAAAUAAGGCCCUAAUAUUUAACUCUCUAUUCUACUUAGCAUCCUUUUCAUUUGUUCAUUGUUUCUAUUAUCCUUGUACACAUGUUCUAUUGAUUCUCAAUAUUGUGUGGUGCUUUGUGUUAGCUAGUGUAUUCUCCCCAAAAGUUCUAAAUUUGUAUCCUUUUUUUAAUUUCAAAUUUAUUUCGCCUAGUUUUGGCUUUUUUCCUUAGCAAUUGCAGGUGUAGUACAGCAAUUCCUCCAAUAGAAUGACUGAGUUACAGGAAAGUCAACUUUCCAUGGAACUGACCCUGCAGGUUUCAUAUGCUUUCAUCCACUUUCUAAAAGCUAAAUUAUGAAACCUUCUCCUUGGCUCCACCCUCUUUGGAGUAACUCUUUAGAGACCUCUUUUAUGGCUAUCAAAUUGUUUACUUAUAAUAUUUCGGAGUAUAUGUUUCAAAUCAAUCAGCAAAUGCUAUUCGUGAUUAUCAGCGCAUUAGCAGCCUUCGAGGAGAUUACUUAUAAGGGUCUUUGCAGCUGCACUCACCCAUUUUAAGAUAAUUGAGUCUUUUCCUCUAUUCCAGCCCCUUCAGAGUAAUAUUUUUGGUAUGGUGCUACAAACAAACCCCAAUGAUCAUAUAGUCCGGCUACUAUGUUAUCAAUAGCACCAAGCGCUUUGCACUACUAAGUUCUCUGCCGUUAGAUCUAUCCCUUUGAUCAUUUCUAUCUGUUAAAUCAUACUAUUUAACUAAUUACCUACUCAACUCUAGGGAACCACUAUCAUCCUAGCCACACAUCUCUUUAUCCAAAGGCCGAAAAUCUAAUAGUACUAAUAACUUCGUGCUAUUAAUAUAGUAACUUAGUUUUAUAUAUACUACUUGAAUAUACGUGCAAAUACGCAUAAUAAAUAUUUUAAUACUUAUCUUAAAUUAACAUAAAUUUUUAGAUUAUAUUUAUUCAGAACGCGUGUGAAGAAAAUAAAUCAUCCGAUCGAUUGAUAGAAAUUUGGAAAAGUAUAAUUUCUUUUUUCUGUUUAUUCAUAUGGAUUGUAGUAUUUUUUUCGCUAAAUAAUAUCUGCCAAUAAUUAUUUUAAUAGUUAUUUCAAAUCAAUAAUAAAUUUAUGCAUCAUAUUUAUCCAAUAAUUUACAAUAAAAUUUAAUUAUUUUAAAAAUAAAUUUAUCUGUCAUAUCUUAAUUCAAAUUCAAAUAGUUACUACCCGCUAUAAUUAUAUAGUUAUAUUUCUAUUAUAUACAUUGAAUAUUUUUUCUAUUUUUGAAUUUUAACAGAUGCAAAAUUUAAGUAUUUAUUUUAAACUAAAAGUAUAGAAAUUUUAACUCACGUUUAGCUCAAAUUACAAAUUUUGAUCUUGAUCCACUUUAAUUAAUUUUUUUUAAUUGGGAAUUCAAAUUUAAUACCUAAAAUUAUAUUUAAUUCACGAUUUGAACUCAAAUUUUAAUUUUAAAUUUAAAAAUCAUAAAUUUAAUUUUAAUUAUAUAAUUAAAUUUUAAAUUAAAUUAGAUAUAUAUAUAUAUAUAUAUAUAUAUAUAUAUAUAUAUAUAUAUAUAUAUAUAUAUAUAUAUAUAUACACUUGAAAUUAGAUAAAUAUUUAAAAUUAAAUAUAUAUACUUGAAAUUAAAUUAAAAUUUGAUUAUUGUUGCAAUCAAUAAAAAAUUAAUAUAAUAACUAAAUAUUAGUAGAUAGAAUUGAGAUAAUCUUAAAUAUUCAAUAUAAAAAGAAAAGAUAUUGAAUGAUAUAAAAAUAUUUAACACAAAAAAUAUUAUUCAUUAGAGAAAAAGAGUUAUUAAAAGUUUUUUACAUUAUGUCUCUAUUUCCAUCCGUUUUAUUCUUAUUCUUAUAUUUAUAUUCUUAUCUUUAUAAUUUUUAAUGGAUCUGUCGACAGACCGAAAUUUAAAAUACGUGCUUAUAUAUAUACUAGUUGAGUGUACGUGCAAAUGCACGUAACAAUUAUUUUAAUUUAUUUUAAAUCAAUAUAAAUUUGCACAUUAUAUUUAUUUAAAAAUUUAUAAUUUAUAAAUUCAUAUGUUAUAUUUUAUUAGAAAAUAUUUGCAAUAUUCUAUAUAUUUUUUAUAUACAUUAAAUAUUUUUAUAUAUUUUUUGAUUUCUGAUUACCUAAAAUUUAAAUAUGUGUUUUAAACAAAAAACAUCAAAAUUUAAUUCAUAUUAUUUUAAAUUUUAAAAUUUAAUUUUGAUCCACUAUAAUUAAAAUUUUUGGAUAAGAAUGCUAUUUUUUAACAGAUUAAUCAUAACCUUUCGUUCUUAUUUGAAAUUUUUUUAAUGAAGUGAACUGAUCAUUUUUAAUUGAUACAGCCGUUCGUAGAAUUGGAUUUAUAGAUGGAUAAGAAUGCUAUUUUUUAACAGAUUAAUCGAUCAUACCCGUUCGUUCUUAUUUGAGAUUUUUUUUAAUUAAGUGAUCAUACCCGUUGGUAGAAAAUAUAUGGAAUAUUCUUUUAUUUUUUUUGGAUUUCUUUAUAGAUGGAUAAGAAUGCUAUUUUUUAACAAAUUAAUCAUAACCGUUCGUUCUUAUUUGAGAUUUUGUUAAUUUAGUGAUCAUAUCCGUUCGUAGAACAAAAAUAUGGAAUAUUCUUUUAUUCCUUUUUGGAUUUCUUUGUAGAUAGAUAAGAAUGUUAUUUUUUAACAAAUUAAUUAUAACCGUUCGUUCUUAUUUGAGAUUUUUUUAAUUAAGUGAUCAUACCCGUUCAUAAAAAAUAUAGGGAAUAUUCUUUUAUUUUNGAAAAAUUGUAGGGUCAGGAUGAUAUUAGUCGGUUAGAGUUGAGUGGUCCCCCUAGGGUUGAGUGGUCCCCAUUGGGUUAUAGUAUUUAAUCCAAUAGUUAAAAAUAAUGAAAAGAGUUGAUCCAAAGGCUAAAAAACUGAUAGUUAUACAUAUAUAUAUAUAUAAAUAUAAUUUUAAUUAAAUCAGUGCAUGUCGCAUGUGAUUGAUUGUACAUCAAUAAUCUUUGAUGGGACCUUUAAGAGUAAAUGCCUAUAGUUCCACUCACCGACUAUAAGAACAUUGGACCUUCUCUUGGCUCCGUUCUUUUAAAAGUAAUGCUUUAGAUACCUCUUAUGCGACUCCCUCAAACUGCCACCAAUAAUGCCGCAGGAGUAUUUGCUUUAAACCAAUCAGCGUGGAUUACAUGUGAUUGUCAGCACAUCAGCAAUAUUUGACAAAAUUAUUAUUGAGGGUCUCUGUCGUUGUAUUCAUCCACUUUAAAAUAAAUCCCUAUUCAACGCAUAGUCCUCACAUGAGAAGAGAUUCACAUUCCUGAUCUAGACCACAGUGUUACAUUCAUGGACCACCCUGACACAUGUUAUAGUGCAACAUGUGUGGUUUUUCCCUCUCAAGUCAAUUUUGGAAUCCAGUCACAUAACACAUUGAAUCAUUACAAAUUUGAUAGUAUUUAUCCAUUUAACAUUUCAACUUCUUUUGAUUGAUCAUGCCCAAAUUAAGAAGCAACUUGGCUAAAUAUUUGGUGUGCUCCACAGAUUGCAAAAAAUUUGAUGGAUGUGGUUCAUUUGUGGCAUAUAAAUUGUUGAUGUUGAGAGCACCAGGAAAGAAUAAUAUUGAAAGGGAAGUCACUGGAUAGUAGUUGCUUGGUUAUUACACUACAUUGGUCCUCCAUAUACUUCAUUUUCAAGUUGGGUCCACAAUAUUUAUGUUUGGAGGCCAGCGUCGUGCCAUUUUCGAUGAGAUCGAUCUUUUGUACAGCAUGGCAUGCAUUUUAGACAGCCCUACGUACGGCUAACCUCCCAUAUUGCAGGAGGUCCAGAGUUCAACGGUUGCGUGACUCUCUCUAACAUCCUACGAGAUCAAUCCUUUGAUUGACACAGUACGUAUUAGCACCAGUCCUGACCCUCUGUUUGUAUGCGACAUGCAUGACUUCCAGAAGUAAAAAUAUUUGCAUUAUUACUGAACGGUUUUCUACCAAAUCGGUCGUUUCGGUGAGAAAUGGAUCACUAGUACUGCGCAUUUGAAUGUGGUCCAAACAGUACCAUUAUUCUGAAAGAAAGAUAUGUACAUCCACUGUUGUGUGGGGCCAAAAUGGUCAACUGUGAGAGAGAGAUAAGAAUAUAUGUUACAAUGGGAGAUCAUAAUAGUCCACUACCUGAGGAAAAAAACAUUGGCAGAUCAUAAAGUACUGUAGUUAAGGUGGACCUUCUGAUGGUUAAAGAAAGGCCUAGAAUGUGCCACGUGGAGGGAGAUAGUCCAGGGAGAAAGGGUUCACCUGAGUCCUACUUAAAGCUGGUCAUGUAACAGCUCCAACUAUUUUGGGUUUUAAAUGGGGGGUGAAAGGGGAAACUAAUUUUAGAAACAAUAACAACAGUUAGAUUAAAAUUAUUAAAUUUGGUCACAUUCGAUCGAUCAAAAAAUAAUUGGAUUCAAUCAAUCAUUUUGUUUCUCAACAAUAAUCUGAUCUACAAGUUUCGUCACAUUUAAUUGGGGCAAUUACUUAUAUACCCCUAAAAAGUUCCCGACUUUCCGAUUUACCCCUCUUAGAUGACUAAUAUUGAAAAUAUCUCUUUACGUUCCAAACUCUGUUAAUUCUGUAAAAUUACUAUUUUGCCCUUUCAAAUAUACCCUUCCACCAUCACUGAUUUUCUUAUUUGCCCUUAAAGUCAUUGGUACAAAAGGUAUUUUGACUUUUGGUCUUUUCAAAUAUACCCCUCUACCGUUACCAACAUUUCUUAUUUCCCCUUAAGUUAAGGAAAAAAUUAGUAUUUUAAUUUUUUUUUAACUGUGAUAGAUAUUUAACUCAUAUUUAACCCAAAUUAACUUAAUAGGAGAUAACUGCGGGGAUAUUUUGUAAUAACGGUAGAACAUAUGAAGGGUAUUUUAGAAAGAAAAAAAAAUAGGAGUAAAUCGGAUAUUUUCAAAUGUAUGAGAAAUAUAUAGGCAAUUAUCCCCAUUUAAUUAGUAGUAUUGCAUAUUAUUUACCGUUCCAUCUUGUAUAAAAGAAUGAACUAAAGUUGGCAUUUUUCACUUUAUUUUGCAUAGUAUUUAUGCCUCUCUUUAACCAACACAUCCUAACUCAAUCAAAAAUAGAAUGUACUAUUCGAAUUUAAUUUCUAAUAUGUUCAUACUUAUUUUAGGACAUAUCUUACUUUCCCAAAGAAAGAACAAAAAAAAAAACUUGAAAUAUUUUGUUCUUGAAGCGAUCUGCUUGAUUUCUAUGUAUUUUUUUCUCAACUACAAAACAACUUUCAAAUACAUAUACAUAGCAAUUGUUUUUCUGGGUCGAUAUACAGAUCGACCUAGAAUCAAAAUAAUUCAUCCAAAAUAAGGAGUUAAUAUACAUUAUUUUUCUUUUUUCUCAACCUUGAAAGAUUUAUCCCUGGCCUAAUUAAUAAACCUAGGCAAUUAAUAAAGGGAAAAAGGGCAACUAUAAGCAUGUGGUGCUGUGGGAAAAAGCACUUUGGUCCUAAUUGACCAAAAUGCAUAUGUGUGGUGAGUGAGGUGUCACAUGUGGACUCAACAGUAAUGAAAAUAUAUAUAAUUAAUUGCACUAUCUCUCUAUGUGCUUUGUACAGUGAGUGAAAAAUCACUUUCCUAACAAGUUAAUUAAUCAAAUUGUGGCAUAUUAAAUUAUUUGCUGAAUAAAAUUAUUUAAAUAUUUUUAUGUAAUAACUUAAAUUUCUAGAGAAUAACAGUCAUUUACAUAUUAUUUUAUAUAAUAUUAGAGUUAGAGACGUUGUGUUCUGAGGUUGGUAACUUGAGCUUUUGGGAAAUAAGGUUUAUACAUUAUUUAACAUUAGUGAAGCCAUAUUAAUAAAUUAGAUGGUAUUCAAUUUAAUUUUAUUUUAAAACUAUUUUUAGCUUUAUAAUUGUGAAUAAUCUUACGUAGCAGGUAAUUUAAAAUAUGGUUUUUUAAAUAUAUAUAUAUAUCUAUCUAAAGGUUCUAUUGCUAAUUACUUAAUUAGUUCGAAUUAAGUCACCCUAGUGCGUACACAACACAGGGUAGGAGAAGUAAUUAAUCACGCGUGUUUUCAUUUUUUAAACCUCAAAAUUCCUUUGGAGUUAUAAUUAAGUUAUAUAAACCAUAAUCACAUGCAUUUAAGUAUAGUUACUUAUGACUCUUUUAACAUUUUUAAAAUACCCACAGCAAUUUUAUUCAGCUUAAUUUAAAUAAAUUGCGUAAGUCUUUUUUUUUUAAAAAAAAUAACUGCUCAGACUGAAAAUAGAAAAAAAAACAGUUAAAACUAAUCCAGGGGUUAAUCAUGUUAAUGUAUUUUGAGAAUAUAUGUUUGUACAAAAAUAUCUCUUUGUGAUGAUGACACAUGAUAUUAGAAUAUAUAUCUAUAUAGAUGAGGUUUGAAUCCAUUAUCAUGUAAUUAAAAGGAAAAAAAAUAUGUAGUCGAUUCGCGUUGUACGCAUGCAAAUAAUAAAAGUUGUAAUCAUAUUAAAAUAAAAGCCUUUGACUUCGAUAUAGUGUGACCAAGUUUCUACUCAAAACACACAAAAAAAAAGACAAAAACAAAAACAAAAAAAAAGCAUUAAAUCAAGUGAGUGAUUUGAAAAGAAGAUUAAUGCGAGAGUUCGCAAAAUCGGAGAGCUUCGAAUGCUACAUAACUUUUGGAAAGUUAUUUUUCAUGAAACAUUACAAAGUUCCUUUUAGUUCAAAAUAUGUUUAAAUUACUAUGAAAUUCUCCAUGAGGUAUGAAACUUACAUGUUCUUGGACUAAUAAAUAUCUCAUAAUCAUUUUCUUUUCUUUUGUUUUUUUUUUUCAGUAAGUAACUGAUCUUUUCCUCUAAACACCAAAGUAAGAUUCUUUGCAUUAGUUUUCUAGUGAAGGUUUAUUAAUCCCUAUACUAACACUCUAUAUAUAUACGGCGAAACAUUAAUCUAAACAACUACAAAAAUAAUGAGCUUAGAUCGCGACGUCGAAACCAGUUGUUUCAACACAUCACCCUUCACAGUCCAAUAGAUGAUAAUUCAUAAAUAAUUAUCUCUUCAUUUCAUCAUCAAACUAUGUGCAAACUCACACUGGUUAGGUUGAACAUUUGCUUUAAAAAAAAAGGAAAAAAAAACAUAAUAUGAUGUGUAAGUUUAGUCCCUAAUUCCAAGAUCUAUUGAGUUGGACCACAACUCCAUAUUUUGUGGAAGCUAAAUAAAUAAUAGAAGAACUUUUAUAAGAAGAUGAUGACAAGUACUAGAAUAUUUAUAUACAGGAUUAGUUGGUUUUUUGGCCUUUCUAAUAAUAUCUACUUAGUUUUGGGACCAUAACAUUUGUGUAUGUAUUGAUCUAGAAAAAAUAACAUAACCUUUGAUGCUACUCUUUUGUUGUGGACUAAACCUACAAGUUAUAAAUAAACAAAAGAAUAGCUAUAGGUUCCUCAGAAGACACCUUGAUAUUCUGAAUAUAGUUGAUGAAUGAGUUUUAUAUGUUACUAAUUUUUAAUGUAUAAUUUGGGUCACGUUCGAUGUUGUGGCCAUUUUCCUUUUUUCAAUUUUUUGCAGCAAACUUAUAUGCAAUCGCGUAGUAGAGUAGACGACGAAUUUCUUGUAUUAUGUAUAUUUAUAAUAUUUUUUCACUGGCUGUCACAUAUACAAAGUAGAUUCCUCGAAUAUGUUUUAGGAUACAAUUUUAGUUACCCCUAGCAUCACUCUUAAAUUGAACAAAGGAAAAUGUAAGAUAUUUUUUAUGUCCUCAUCCUAGGAUGAGGACAUAUAGUUUUUUUUAAAAAAAAAAACCAUAUUUCUUUUUAAUAACUUUUGAAAGUACUUUGGAUUGUACUGCAUAAAUUAAGAAUUGAAUCCCUAUUGGUACCACGAAUCAAGUUGAAUCAAACAAGUAACCAUUUUAAAUAUUAAAAAAAUUUUGUGUAGAAAUAAUGAAUCGAUCAACUUGAUACUAAACCAACUCGUGCUUAGUUACAUCACAUAUUCUUGCUCCCCAUUGGUAUAAUUUUUCAACUAUUUCUUAAUAGAUGAUGAAACUCCCUUAUCUUUUACAAAUUUAAAUUGUUUUUUUUCAAAAAAUAUUUGAUAUAUUAGCCGCCCUUGUACUAUUGAUUCUAUUUUUUAUUAGAAAAAAAAAAAGGAAAAGUGCUUUUGAUGAUGCUUGUUUAAUGGCAAAGAAGUUUGUUUUCGGUAAGAAUAGUUGUUUUGUUUUGUUCUUUGUUCUGUCUCGGUGGUGAGUAACCCUCCCAUCCUCGUACUUAUAAAAUAUUUUUAAUAAUAAAAAAUCUGAUUCGACAAUCGACUAUAUUAGACAUAAUUUACCUAUUGGAAUUAUUUAGAAAUCAAAUUUUAUAAUCUUGUAACAUUAUUUACUAAAUAAGGCCUUAAAAAUGACUAUUUUAAGGCUUAAUAUGGUACAUUUUUAAGUUCAACGAUAUAGAACAAUCUAAAUUACAUAAAAUUUUAAUAGAAAUUUCUAUUUAACAUCAAUAGCAAAAUUAAUACUUCUGAUUUAAAUUUUGAGUCUUUUAUCAUUAUUUUUUAUAAAAUUUUUAUUUUCCAACAUUUAUUUUAAGGCUCUUCAUUUACCAGGUAAAUAAAAUCAAAAAAAUUAUAAAAUUUAAUUUCUAGAUAGUUUCAAUAAGAUAGAUCAUAUCUAACGAAAUCGAUUACCAAAUUGAAUAUCCAAUCAUCUAAAACAACUUACAAAUAUGAAAGCUUCCCUACCUUUAAAAGCAUAGGAGCCUAGCUCCUCAGUGGUAUAUACCAAAUAUAAUAGUUGAAUUUUAAUAGGGAAUUUUACAUAU